UACAUGCCAAAGUCUUGCAUAUUUAUUCAGAGAGAACUAGUUCAGGUGACAUCAACUCAAAGAUGCAACAACUAUACAAGCCUUUUUCCCAGUAAGUGAGAAAAGACUUGAGAUAUUCUCUGGAAAUUCACCAAAGUUAAUUUAUUUCUCUGUCUACAUCAGAUUUCAUUGUUUAUCAUAUAUAAGUUGCAAUUGUAAGGCAAGACACACAAUAGGAAGAGGAGUACAUAUUCUGUCCAACAAUUUGCCUCAUCCUAUGUGUCAUCAGUUGUGAUCAGUUUGAGAAAUAUUUAAUAAUUAAAUAUUUAAUUUAAUUAUAUUUUUAUCAACAAAUUACAACUGGUAACACAUUGAAUAAUACAAAUUACAGGAUAUCAGAAUGCUCCCAAUAUGUAGAGCCUAUGGUUAUGCAAAAAGCAUGAAAUCUCAGCAUUCUUGGCAACUACAGUCCUCAAAGCGGCACAUGAUGCAGCCUCCACAAUAACAAGUUGUGCAGCCUUGACAACCUGAAGAUCGAGUGCAUCCCCUACUGGUUCUGAGACCUAAUCGCUCUUGAGCACUAUCGCAUGUUAUUCUGAAACAUCAAAACACUCACAUUCAUUAAUUAACAUACAUAUUGGAACAAAUCCCAUGGUAGCAUACUGGAAUCUACCAUAAUUAUAUUCUAGUUUACCAUAAAGCUAAAUUAGGUUUGGUUUGGUCAUAGACAAAACAGGUGAAGCACUAAUGAAAGGGACAACAGACAACAUAUGGUGUAUUAUGGAGGAUGUAACUAUUUAUUCCCUUUUUGAUUUAUCCAUUUAAAUGUCUAAUAAUUAAUAAUGAUAUGCAAUAAGAAAUAAUAGUUUCAUAACCAGUCAUAAAAGGUGACAACAACAUAUCUUAUCUAAUCUCAAAAUUAGUAUUGAACUAAUUUCUUUUUUCUUUUUUUAUUAUCAGACCUUACUAAGUAAAUGUUUAGGAGUUUGCUUUUGGAAGAAAAAAAUCAUAAGUCAUCUUAUAAGUGUAUUUUAUGAUUCUCAAAUCUUUUUCAUCUUUUUAUUAUUAUUCUAAAUGUAACUCACAGACAUGUAGUAGAUGGAGGCUUAUGGGUCACCCUAGUUUCUUUUGUAUUAGAAUACCUUUCUAGUUUAAUAUGAUCCAUAAAAAAGUAAUGAUAUUUUCUGCUCUCGUCCAUGCAUAACUAAAAUAGCUGGAACCAAUGGCACAAUUGAUUAAUAGGAAUAUAGAAUUAGGUAGUUUAGAAGAGCAUCAAUUUUUUAUGGGAUACAGAUCAUUUGUUCCUAUUGAUGUCUCAUUCCGUAUCUCGAGCUAAUGAUAUAUUGCCAUAUAAAUAAAAGAAAGUUUUUAAAAUAAAAAGGUAAUAUUGUGACUGACUCGAGACACAGAAUGAGAUUCCAUACGAGAUAUGUGAUCUCUAUCCCAUAUUAUGAUGUUAGGAAGUUCAAUAUCAUUAAGCUUAAGAAGUCAGUUGAGAUGAACUUACUUUUGAUAAGGCCAAUCAGAAUACUUCCACACUUUGUUCUUCAGAGCAGCAUGAUACUGUCCAAUUUGUUGCCUAGUCCGGAGACGAAAUCUGCGCUCCUUUUGGCAACUAGAACAACGAAUGAACUCAUCCCUGUGACAAGUACAUAUGCGGUUUGCAGCAUCUAUCCAGUUUGGAACAUUUGCUAGAUGUGUGUAGUACUUAAACAAUGGUGUCCUCCUAAGAGGAACUCUGUCUUCUUCUUCAGUAUGAACCCAUAUGUUGCUUUUCCAUUUUCCAUUACUUUUUAUGCCAGCAUGCUUUUCAAAUUCCACCAGUGUCACAUUCACUGAUCAUUAGAGUAAAUAAAUUUUCACCAACUUUAGAAUUCUCACUUGUUACUACUUGUAUCAAUAUAUAAUCAAACUAUCAAAUAAUGCAUCACAUACAACAUAGGGAAAGAAUCCUUAUAAAUUAAAGUGUUAUAAUCGUUCAAUAACAUUAUAUCAUUAGUACCAUUUUUCUAUAGAGAAUCAAAUUAAGAAGAAGAGACUUAGUUGCCAAAACUAAGUUUAAUAUAUGACAUUAAGUGUAAGUAUCCGAGUUUAAUAAGACUCUACUUUAAACCGAAGUAAAUAAGAGAAUAAUAGAAGGGUGCACAGAAAUACUUGCCUUUGGUGCACUUAGAGUAACACUCACAAGUGAUUGAAAAUUGACCUUUGUCAUUAAUUCUAAGUUUCCCAAUGAAAUCUCCAUACUUUUUAUUUGUGCAGCCACAAAGAACCUCAAUAUAGUCACUUCCUCUUUCAUAACCUCUUACGUUCUUUAGAUCCUCUUCAUUAAAAGUUAUCACACCACCAUCUUCAAACACAGCCAGCUUUCUUCGUUUCCAUGUCUCUGAUUAUUUCAUGAGGAAAAUAGUUCCAAGCCAAUAAUUUAGACAAAAUUAAGUAUAAUAACAAAAACAAAAAUGUAUAACUAAUAAUGUUUUUAUUUGUAAGCAGUAGCAAAAUAAAAGUGUAGAACAUAAGGGAAAUGCUGGAGGCAUAAACAUAAACUUAAAGCACCAACAACAAUUCCCUAAAAAAGUAAGUGUUCCUGGAACAUGAUGUUUCAAAAUAAUAUUAACUAAUUUAUGAGGUGUAUAUUGUUUGAAUUUUUUAAAAGAUGAACAUUUUUUGGCAUACAGGUUUAGAUUAGUGAUUGCAAGAAUUUUUAGUAGUCUGUCAAAUAACAGCAUUCCAAAUAGUUGCAAAAUAUGUGGACAUCAUGCAUAAUAAAUAAGCUGAAAGGUUAUUUUCACCAUGGAGAAUGCAUAUCAUGAAUAAUAUUGUUAAGAAUUUGUUGUGUUAUUGUUAAGAAUUGUUGUACGAAUAAUGGAUCUCAUAAAUAAAACACUUCAAAAUUUAAACUAGUAAAUUCAAGAUCAUGCUUAUUACCCUUCAAUGAAUAGAUUCUCAAAAUAUAUUUUUAAUAUUAAAAGUAGAGAUGUAGUGAAUUUUUGAAUCAUCUAAUAUUCAUUAAUUAAAAAUAAUACUCAUGAAUAAUGUAGACAAUUGUGUCGACAUUAUAAAUAACUUUAUAUCAACAAUAUAAAAUUUUUUAUAUUGACAAUAGAAGCUCAAUAAACUCUCAAAAGUAUUACUUUCUUGGAAAACAAUUUUGAAAUAUCAGCAAUUUGUAAUAAUCCUAUCAUAUUUCCCCAUAUCAAAUAAUACUUAUUUUUUGCUGCAGCGAUUUAGUGGUUGUGUUGGCUUAAGGGGAUUUACCUUCGUCGCUUUCGUUAAUAGCUUUGAUUUCCAUUCCUGUGCAAAACAAAUAGACCUUUAAUAGUUAGCUUUUCAUUACCCAAAUUUAAAAGAAUAAAAAGAAAAGGGAAGUUUUUCCAUGAUAAGUAACUUGGAGAAAUAAGAAUUAUAGAUAAUUAAACUUGUCUCAUAAUUUCUUAGUUCUUAUACAGUAGUAGUUUAUCCCAUCAUAGUAAAUCUUUCAGACAUUAUUAUAUUGCUGAUAUAUGUAUGAGCUAAAAAUUAACCUAUAAGCAAAUAAUCUUAAACAUGAUGUUCAACAAAAUUUGUAGUGUCAAGAGCUAGAUAGAUUGCAUGCCACAACAAGAAAAACAAUUCAAGUUCACACAAGAAAUAGUAUAAUAUAAUCAACAACCACUAAAGCUGUGUCAUUUAGUAGUAUUCACAAAUAUAUCAUACCAACAAUUGUCAUUGUAUUUCCCCACAAUAGUUCUCCAUUGCGAUAAACACAUUAAUGGAACAAUCAAAACCUCAAUUAUAGUUCAUUAUUCCAUAUAUCACACUCCAUGGUUAUUUUAAUGACACAGCCCCUUACAAAAAUAUAAAAUUUAAAUAGGGUCUGUUUAGUUUUAUGUUGCUCUAAGUAAUUGCAAAUGUGUCACAUUAAUUUUAUUUUGUAAUAGUAAAUGGUUGUAAUAGGAAAUGGUGAAAACAAUAUUUCAUUGUUUUGGUCAUUUCCUAUAAACAAAAUCAAGAAAAACAAAACAAAUAAAAUGAAAACAAUGUAUAUUUUUUUUUUCAAAUAUUAACAGAAUACAUUUUUGUAACGAAUGAGUCCCUAAUUUUUCCACUUGUUUCAAUCAUGCAAAUGGGUAUAAUUUUUUUUAGAAAACCUUAAAAAAUGGAUAAUAAAGUUCAGGGAUAAUUCUAUGGCAUUGCUUCUCAGCAUGCUGGCAUGGGUUGCCUCUUGAUCAGAUAAAGCCCUAGACGGGAUCUAGCCUUAGUUUUCCACCGGAAAUCAUGUGGUCUAAGAAACCAAUGAAUUGAUUCUUCUUCACAACUUAAUAUAAUAUAUAAUGCUAAAUUUAUAUAACUAGUGUGUUUAAUAAUCCUAAUGGGGGAGCAUCCAGCAUAGGCACACGACCAUAUUCUAGGAGAUUAAUCUCUUACCAAUCUGACAGUAGAAUAGUUUACAAAACAGAAAAAAUGUAAAACACAAUGACAAAAAUGUAAUAAUGCAAAAAAGAAAAGACUCAAAAUAUAAAAGUUCAAAACAAUUAACUAUAAAUGAUUUAGUUAAUUGAGCAUUGAUAAUUUAGAAAAAUAGGAUUUCAACAAUUUAGACUUGGCAACAUAAUUGAUGUCCCAUUUUACCACAAAUUAACAUAAAAUCACAAAUUAACAUAAAAAAAUUACGAGUUUAAAAUAGCAGAUAUAAUGUAGUAAAUAUAAUAUUUUAGUUUCAUUCAAAAGCAUUAAAGUUGUUUGAUGUUCUCAAGAUGGUGAUCCUCACCCUCUUCAUUCGAUGGCACCUCUUGAUCAACCACAAAAUGACAUAUAAUACCCAUUUUGACUUUCAUUUCCAAAUCAACAUCCAGUGGUCUAAAAGUAUAAUAAAAUGUUUUUUAUUUAACAAUGAAAGAGGAAAAAACUACAAUUUUUUAAGCUUAUAUAAACGAAGAAUUAGAGUAAUGAAAUUGUGUAUCAGAAUAUCAGAAAUACAGCAUGUGAAAUGAACUUAGUUAAUAAACUACCAUUGAUAACUUAGAUGAAUGUAAUUAUGUGCCGAUCAGUGAUAUGAACUUCAAUAAUUGAUAAAGUAAAAAACACAAAAUAAUUCGCCUCAAAUUAGAUGGAUUUGAAAAGGAAGAAAUCUGAAAACAAACAUCACUUUCAGGAAAAAACACCAUACCUUAACUUCAAAUCAUGUGAAUUGAAAAAGAUUUGAUUUAUAAAAAAUUAAACUAACCUCAUUUCAUCCUUUGAUUCCUUUCUCCUUACUCCACUCUUAUGCUUUCUUUGGUUGAUAUUAUAAUAAUAAAAUUGUGUAUCAAAAUAUCAGAAUAUUAGAAAUACAACAUGUGAAAUGAACUUAGUUAAUAACCUACCAUUAAUAACUUAGAUGAAUGUAAUUAUGUGCAGAUCAAUGACAUGAACUUCAAUAAUAGAUAAAGUAAAAAAACACAAAAAAUUCGCCUCAAAUCAGAUGGACUUGAAAAGGAAGAAACAUGAAAACAAACAUCGCUUUCAAGCAAAAACAUCAUACCUUAACUUCAAAUCAUGUGAAUGAAAAAGGAUUUGAUUUAUAAAUAACUAAACUAACCCCGUUUCAUCCUUUGAUUGUUUUCUCUUCACUCUACUCUUUAGAUUUCUUUGGUUGAGAUUAUAAUAAUGAAAUUGUGUAUCAGAAUAUCAGAAUAUCAUAAAUAUAGCAUGUGAAAAGAACUUAGUUAAUAACCUACCAUGGAUAACUUAGAUGAAUGUAAUUAAGUGCAGAUCAAUGAUAUGAACUUCAAUAAUUGAUAAAGUAAGAAAACACAAAAAAAUAGGCCUCAAAUUAGAUGGAUUUGAAAUGGAAGAAACAUGAAAAUAAACAUCGCUUUCAGGCAAAAACAUCAUACCUUAACUUCAAACCAAGUGAAUGAAAAAUGAUUUGAUUUAUAAAACAUUAAACUAACCUUGUUUCGUCCUUUGGUUCCUUUCUCCUCACUCCACUCUUGUGCUUUCUUUGAUUGAGAGGAGAAAUUGAGAAGAGAGAAAGAUGUGAAAGAGAUAGUAAAGAGAAAGAAGGAAAUGAGAAAGAGGUGAGAAAAUAAUUAGUUUUUUAUUUUGUAUGGUAUGAAUGAAAUGAAAGAGAGAGAGAGAGAGGAGAGAAAGAGGUAAGAGAGAAAACAACAGAACACAAUUAUAUUAUUAUAUACCAAGGCCGUAUUUCUCAUUUCAUAGUAUCCAACAAUUCCCACUAGUUUUUUAUUCAUUUUUUAUGAGAGAUGGUUUUGUUUGGGUCCCAUAUGAUAUGCUCUUUAGUCUUUCCACCCCUUCUCUCUUCACUAACAAAUGAUAGAAAAUACUAUUUUCUCUACAACUUCUCUCUUCCUAACUUAUUUCCUAUUUUUUUACACAACCAAAUGAAGGCUUAGUGCUUUCACUUCUCUCACAACAUUUGUUGAGGGAUUUACUCUUUUGUUGAAUGGGUGAGACACCAAAAAAUUGUCUCCACCUUUGUCAAUUAUAGAGUUAGAUGGAUAAGAGUACCACUUGUUCUCCUAACAUCUUUUCCCUAUUUUAAUAAAAUUCUUAUUGCUCAUAAAAAACUGUGCAUGUAUUCAGUCUCUUGAGUUGAGAAUAUAACAAAGGAAAAAUGUUAUAUUCUUAAAUGGGAAUUAAAUGGAUUUCCACUUUUCUGAUGAAUUUGUAGGUGAAAAUAAACGUCAUCCAAAAAAUACAAAUCUCACUUAGUUGUUUUUCAUGGCAUGGGUACAAGUGUUACAAUAAUAGUAUAGUGUAAUAUCUAUCUUGUCAUUUAUAAUAUUUAUAUACAGUCAAUACAUCAUAUAUUAUUCAUUUGUAUUACUUCACUACAGCAUAAUUCGUAUUUAAAAAUGGUCAUUCAAUAACGCUUCCUAGCACAACUAUGUUAAAUACAAGACGAAAGAUAAUCAUCAACGUUAUUCUAAGCAAGUGCUGUUAAAGUUAAUAGGCAGGUAUAGCUUCAAUAACACUUGCUUCAACAUGCAGUAUUGUAUGUUUGCCCAAGAUAUUUAACAACACUCUUUUAAGCAAUCACUAUUAUUUUGAAUCUAUUCAACAACGCUUGCUUAAAUAAGUGUUGUUAAUGGUGACAUAUCAACGACACUCAUUACAAUGAGCGUUGUUAAAAGUCACACAUCUAACAGUGUUUGCUUUAAUGAGCACUGUUAAAAGUUACUCAUUUAACAAUAUUUUUUUUAAUAAACGCUAUUAAAAGUCAUACAUUCAAAAAAACGCUUGUUUUAGUUAUUACAUAAUAUGUAUUUAAAAAAUUAUUUAAUUUUAUUUUGAAAUAUAUAUAUAUAUAUAGUUUUUCAUAUAUAACACAACUUUGUCAAAAAAUCAUAUUUGGUAAGUAAAUUAUUUUAUUUGCUAUUCCAUUCUCAAAAGUUGAACAUAGUAUGACAACUAAUUUUUUUUAAAGAAAUUUGAUAUUUAAUAGCGUUUUUUUAAGCAAACGUUUUUUAUUUGAAUCUAUUCAAUAUCGCUUGCUUAAAUGUUUGUUGUUGAAGGUGAUAUAUUAACAGUGCUCGUUACAAUGAGCGCUAUUAAAAGUCACACAUUUAACAACACUUCCUUUAGUGAGUAUCGUUAAAAGUCAUACAUUCAAACGAUGCUUAUUUUAGUGAGCACGUAACUUUUCAGAUUUAAAAACAAAACCUCAUAUAGAGUAAUACACAUGUCAUUCAAUAUUCCAUUUCUCUUAUUGUUCUUCUCUUAGUUUCUCUCUUCAAGCAAGUUAUUAACUUUUGGUUUCUCUCUUUGAGCAUAAGGCAAAUCAUUAUCUUAUUUUACCUCAUUUAUUUCUCUUUGAUUCACUCUUGUUGCUUGCCUUUACAUCUAUGUUAAAUACUUAUUUUAUAAUAUAGAAAAUGUCAAGGUUGAAUCAAGGUGGAUCUGUAAGUGAUUUUCCAAACUUGCAAUCUUUGUAUGUAUUUCUUUUAUAUGGCUAUUAAAUUUUCAUCCAUAUUUUCUAUGUAAUUUGUUUUUUGAUUCUUAUUAUAUUAAAUCUGAACUUUGUCUUUCUAUCAUCUUAUUUCUUUAGUUAAGGGAGAGAAAACAUUUUUGGAUUUAACCUCUACAUCUUCAUCACCUUUGUCCCUGUUAUUACUACAUAUAACCUUAUAGGUUAAUGGAUUUGAACUAAGAGAGACAAGUUCAAACAUUGAUUUAUGAAUUGAGUUUUUAGAAUGAUAUUUUUAUUGUCAAUUCUCUAGGAAAUAUAGUGAAAUUGGGUAUGUUUGUUAUGUGUUUGAUAUAAUGUGUGAGAGAGAUUUUGCCUUAUUUAAAAAAAAUAGACAUUUAACAUCGCUCGCUUCACCCAGGGUGGUUAAAUGUUCACUUCCUAUGGCGCUUCAAAAGCGCUGUUGAAUAACAAUUUUAAACAUCGUUGUUUUGCUAUUAUGGCGUAGUACUUGUAUUUAUUUGUAUUACUUAUAUUUUGAAAACAAAUUCUCUCGGGUCAUACAUUAUGUGAAGUUUCCACUAAUGGACAUAUAUAAAUAAAAAAAUUAAUAUUGAGAGAAAAAACUAAGAAAUUAUUUAAUAUUUUAUUAUAUAUUUUUGUUUAAAUUUAAAUGGUACCAAAUGCACCAAAAGGAAAUAGACCAAUUGGGCCCACUUUCAAAUAUGGCUCAGGUUGGAUAAGAUUAAGGAAAACCAGUUUUUUUUAAUAUGAAAACUACAUUAAAACAAGGAUGUUAUGAGUAUCAUAUUUGUUUAUACCCUUCAAUAAAUGAAGCACUUUAUUUUAAUCAUAAUCUCGUAAAUUGAAAGUCAUUUUAGCUAUUAUCGUAUAAUUAUUUUAAAAUAAUAAAUGAUAGAGUAAGUUAUACUGACACUCUAUGAGUUUUAGUGAAAUUACACAAACCACCCCUCACUUUUCUACACCUACACAAACCUCCCCUAGUUUUUAUAGAUUCAUUACACUGACCACCCCUGUAUAAGAAUUAAGUGUAAUAUUUUAAACAAAAAAUGGGACAAAUGCAAUUAAGUUAAAUAAAACAUGAUAUAUUGUGUACACAAGUCUAAAAAAUUUACAAAUCAAUGUAUCUUUAUUAUUUUUUUGUUACAAAAUGCAUCAACAAUUCUAAAGAAAUAUUGUUUAAACCACUCUUAUAAUGUAGUCUAACGAACCAAAAAUAAUAAAGAAAUAUUGACUCAUAUAUUAUUUGGACUUGUCUCCACAAUACAUCAUGUUUUGUUUAACUUAAUUGCAGUUAUUACAUUUUUGUUUAAAAGAUUACACUUAUUUCUUAUACAGGGGUGGUCAGUGUAAUGAAUCUAUAAAAACUAGGGGAGGUUUAUGUAGGUGUAAAAAAAUGAGGGGUGACUUUUGUAAUUUCACUAAAACUCAGGGGGUGUCUGUGUAAUUUACUCUAUGCAAUCAAAACAACUAAGUUUGAUUUUUAUUUUUUGGAUGACAUUUAUUUUUCACCUCCAUAAUUCAUUAGAAAAGUGGAAAUUCAUUUAAUUUCUAUUUAAGAAUAUUUAUUUUUUGCUCAGUUGUAUUCUCAACUCGAGAAACUGAAUUCCUGAACAAUUGUUGUGAGAGAUACGAAAGCACUAAGAUUAGAGUGGGGAGAAAGGAAUCAAAGGAAAAAACAAGGUCAGAUUAGUAUUUGAUAAAUCAAAUCCUUUUUCAUUCACUUGAUUUGAAGUUAAGGUAGGAUGUUUUUGCUGGAAAAUGAUGUUUGAUAUCAUGUUUUUUCCUUUUAAAAUCAUUGUAAUUUGAGGUACAUUUCAUUGUGUUUUUUACUUUACCAACUAUUGAAGUUCAUAUCACUUAUAUGCACUUAUUUACAUAGGUUUAAGUUAUCAAUGGUAGUUAUUAAAUAAGUUCAUUUCUCAUUAUUCAUAUAUGAUAUUACGAUACACAAUUUCAUUAUUCUAAUCCUUCAUUUAUAUAAAAAUUAAGAAUUGUAGUUUUUUCCUCUUUCCUUGUUAAAUAAAAAACACUUUAUUAUACUUUUAGAGCACUAAAUUUUGAAUUGGAAAUGAAAGUGAAAAUGGAUCUCAUACGUCAUGUUGUGGCUGAUCAACAGGCGCCAUCAAAUGAACGAGGUGGGGAUCACCAUCAUCGUGAACGUCAAACAACUUUAAAGCUCUUUAAUAAAACUAAAAUAUUGUGUUUACUACCAUAAUAUGUGCUAUUUUAAACAUUCAUAACUUUUUAUGUUAAUUUGUGAUAAAAUUGGAAACCAAUUAUGUAGCCUAAAGUAUUUUACAAUAAGAUAGGUAAGAGGUUAAUAUCUCCAUAUUAGUUAUUAUUUUAAUAUAUUUAUAUGAUCAUAGCUAAAAUGACCGUCAACGCACUAUAUUAUUUUUAAAAUAAAGUGCUGCAUUUAUUUAUGUGUAUAAACAAAUAUGAUACUUAUAACAUUCCUUGUUUUAAUGUACUUUUCAUAUUAAAAUAAAUUGGUUUUCCUUAAUAUUGUCCAACAUAAUUUUGAUUGAUUAUGCAAUCUCUAACCUCGUCCAACCACAAAUAUAGUCAAGAUCUUAGUUAUAUUUGAAAGACGACCCAAUNNNNNNNNNNNNNNNNNNNNNNNNNNNNNNNNNNNNNNNNNNNNNNNNNNNNNNNNNNNNNNNNNNNNNNNNNNNNNNNNNNNNNNNNNNNNNNNNNNNNAUUCAUUUGUAUUACUUGUAUUUAUUUGUAUUACUUAUAUUUUAAAAAAAUUAUGGUAUGUUAUACAUUGUAUGAAUUUGCCAAUCGUUGUAUAUAUAUAAAUAAAAUCUAUAAUAUUGAGAUAAAAACUAUAAUAUUGAGAUAAAAUAUAAGAAAUUAUUUAGUAAUAUAUUAUAUAUUUUUGUAUAAAUGAUACUAAUUGCAUCAAGUGCAAACCAGGCCAAAUUGGCCCCUCUUUCAAAUAUGGCUAGGAUCAUGACUAUAUUUUUGUGGUUGGACGAGGUUAGAGCGUGCAAAAUAAAUCAAAAUUAGGCUUGACAAGAUUAAGGAAAACCAAUUGUUUUAAUAUGAAAACUACAUUAAAACAAGGAAAGUUAUAAGCCAAAAAGUUAUAUUCUUAAAUGGAAAUUAAUUGAGUUUCCACUUUUCUUAUGAAAUAUGGAGGUGAAAAAUAAACGUCAUCCAAAAAGUACAAAUCAUACUUGGUUGUUUUUCAUCGCAUAGGUACAAGUGUUACAAUAAUAUUAUAGUGUAAUAUAUAUCUUGUUAUUUUUAACAUUUAUACAUAAUUAGUACAUCAUUCAUUUGAUGACAUUACAAUCUGGUACCGCAGGAACCAGAAUAGAUUUGAUGACAAACUAAUAUCUACAAGCCAAGCAAUCUCAAGAAUCAAAAGGGAGACUUCUUACCCUGGCUCUUAUCCCCCUGCUGUAGUAGCUUCAGGAGGCCUUCAUGAAUUCCAAACUCUAAGGUUCUUCAAUAUUCCUCUCAAACUUAGUAAAGCUCCUACAUAUAUUGAAUUUCUAUGGAAGCCUCCUCAUUGGAACUGGAUAAAAGUUAAUACUUCGUUGUUUUUCAUCGCAUAGGUACAAGUGUUACAAUAAUAUUAUAGUGUAAUAUAUAUCUUGUCAUUUUUAACAUUUAUACAUAAUUAGUACAUCAUUCAUUUGACAUUUACAAGAACUCGAAAAUCCUUGAAUAGCUAUAUUUAAUGGAGAUGACAUGGCAAAAAAGCUCUUGUGACAUAGCCCUUUCUCAACUUCCCCAACCUUGUAUCAAACGCGAUGCUAUUGCCAUAAAAAUCCCUAAAGAAGAGUAUCAAGCUGACCUGGCCAAAUGUCAAUCUCAUCUUCAUGGAAGAGUUAUUCUUUCAAAAGGUGACUCACCAAUCAAGUUCCAAGAUCUUAAGUCGAAGCUUGCAUCUAUGUGGAGCAUGAUAGGGAAGUGGAAUAUGAUAUCCCUAGGGAGAGGUUUCUAUGAUUUCACUUUCUCCUCGAUUGAGGACAUGCAAUCUGUUUGUGCCGUGGGCUCUUGGAACCUCAAACCCGGAGUGUUGAGACUCUCUCUUUGGACUCCAGACUUCAAUCCUAAUCUUCAAAAGCUUUCACAUUCACAAUGCUGGGUGAGGAUUCUGGGUCUACCUCAGGAAUAUUGGAGUGCAAAAAUCUUAUUCUCUAUUGCUGGAGGAUUAGGAACACCAAUCUCAUUAGAUGAUGCAACAUCCAACAGAUCUUUUGGGCACUUUGCUAGAGUCUUAGUUGAUACUGACUUGAAAAGUCAUUUGCAUAAUCAGAUCUUGGUUGAGAGAGAAGGCUUUGCCUUCUUUGUGUCCAUUGAAUUUGAAAAUCUUCCUGACUUUUGCUCGAGGUGCAACUCAAUAGGUCACCUAGCAUCCAGAUGGAGGAAAAACAACAUGGAAGGGGAAGGAGCUACUCUGAAACCUGUAGGGAAAAAACAAAUAAUCAGGGGUAGCCAAAGUAGAAACCUAUUGCUGACCUGGUUAUCCAUCUGGAAAUUGACCAUUUGGAAGUUCCUAAACUGGCAAACUUGGAAAGGGUCACAGAUGAGCUUGUUCAAGCACCAGGGGAAGCAAUGUUAGGUCUACUUGUUCAGGAAAAUAUCUCAGUGGAUGAGGAUGAGGAGGAUGAAAUCUUAAGGAUCAAGAAAUGGUCCUUAACUUACAAAAUGAAAACUUUGAGGUCUUAGAGGAUUUGGCUAAUUCAACUGCUGCUAAGGAGUUCAGGCUCGUGGGAAGACUUUAGGCAGAUGACUCUGAAAAUGAAGCAGAAUUGGUGGAGACUAACACCUUCACCAAAGUUUUAACCAAAUCUCAAAAGAAAAAGAUGAGGAAAAAACAAAGCAAUGAAAGAGUGCAUUUUACCCGUAGGGGUGGAUACUUAACUGGAUCUCAAUGAAAGCCCUCUACUGGAACUGUAGGGGAUUUGGUAACUUGGGCACCAAGCUACUGCUAAAAGAGAUUCGUUCUACUCAUAAGCCUGAUGUAGUUUUCAUAUCUGAGCCAAUGAUCCAUGCCAAUAAAAUUAAACCCAUGUUUUGGUCCAAUUUGGGUCUGAAGCUCUUUAUAGCUAACGAUAAAGCUCCUCUGCCAUCUUCAAUUUGGGGAGUUUGCAAGGUUAGUAUUCAGCCAACUAUAAUAGCUAACUCUAGGCAACAAAUAUCGAUUGAGUUAGAGGUUGAAAACAAAAAGUUCUUCUUUUGUGCUGUGUAUGCUCACACGCAUUUUGCUCAUAGAAGAGAGCUCUGGAAGGAGAUUCACCAAAUUCUUCUCAACUUCCCUGGUCCCUGGUGUUGCAUUGGGGAUUUUAAUGUUGUCUUAGGAGCUAAUGAAUGUCGUUGUGCCCGUUUGCCCAAUAAAACUUCAUCUGAUGAGUUUAAAGCUUUCUCUGAUUCUGCAAACUUGACUCACAUUGUAACAAGAGGGUCUGAGUUCACCUGGUCCAAUAAAAGGAGUGGUUCUGCCCAUACAGAGAAGAGGCUUGAUAGAGCAAUCUGUAAUGAUGCUUGGCUGAGUGAAUGGACUAACAUCACCUGUUGCACUCUCCCUAGAUCUAACUCUAAUCAUCACCCCCUACUCCUUUGUGCUUCAGGGGCUAUAAGUAUUAGGCAAUCUCCUUUUAAGUUCCAAAAAAUGUGGCUGCUCCAUCAUGGCCUGAGAGAUCUAAUUAAGACCAAUUGGGAUACAAGGUUUGUUGGAUGCCCUAUGUUUGUUCUAUCUACAAAGCUGAAAAGCUUAAAAGUGGUGCUAAAGAAUUGGAAUAAGGAGGUGUUUGGUAAUAUCCAUCUUAGGGUGAAGGCUGCCUUGAUUAAAGUUAAUGAUAUUCAGCAAUGCUUAAAUCUCAGUGGGGAGGAUCAUGAUCUCAGGGAGCAGGAAAAUCUGGCUCAGAAGGAGCUCCUUUAUGCCUUAAAUUUGAGGAAGAAUUCUAGAAAGAAAAGGCUCGCAUCAGUUGGCACUCUAAGGGUGACAAGAAUACCUCUUACUUCCAUAAGUUAGCCAAAAUAAGGCAUUCAACCAAGACUAUGACCACGUUAAGGGAGGGGGACACAAUCCUGUUAGAACAAAAUGAGAUAGCUAGUCAUGCUUUGUCCUAUUUCACAGAGUUGUAUGCCUCGAAGAACAAUGUCCAGCACAAUGAUUUGAUCAAUUCUAUGGUGCCCAGGGUAGUUUCUGAAGACUAGAAUUGUAUGUUCACUAAAAUUCCUAUGCCUGAAGAAAUUAAAAAUCCAGUUUUUGGUAUGAAUGGUGAUGGUGCUUCAGGUCUUGAUGGGUUUGGUGGUUCCUUCUUUCAGGAGUUUUGGGACAUUGUUGGGCCCGAUGUGUGCAAUUCAGUCUCCCAAUUCUUUGCCCAGGGAUGGAUUCUUCCCAAUAUGAACUCUAAUUAUGUGGUGCUGAUCCCUAAGUUCCCUAGUGCUGAUAGGAUUGAAGACUUCAGACCAAUUGCUCUUGCCAACUUCCAAUUCAAAGUGAUCAUAAAAGUCCUGGCUGAUAGGUUGGCCAUAAUUGCUCCAGAGAUUGUCUCUAGUCAGCAAAGAGGCUUCAUCAAAGGAAGACAUAUCUAGGACUGCAUCUGUAUUGCUUCUGAAGCCAUCAAUCUGCUGGAUCAUAAGUCUUUUGGGGGAAACCUAGCUGUCAAGUUGGAUAUUAGGAAAGCCUUUGACAUAAUUGAUUGGGGAUUCAUAAGCAAUACUCUAAAGGCUUUCGGAUUUGACAACAAAUUCAUAGCUUGGAUAAAUACCAUCUUGGGCUCUGCUAAGCUAUCCAUUGUUGUUAAUGGCCAAAAUCAUGGUUACUUCAGUUGUAAGAGGGGUGUUAGGCAAGGAGACCCCCUAUCGCCCCUUCUCUUCUGUCUUGCAGAAGAUGUCCUAAGAAGGGGCGUAGCCAUGUUACAUGCUGAAGAGAAAAUUCAUUCCAUCUCUGGCCCUGGGAAAAUAUCUACACCCUCUCAUGUUUUAUAUGCUGAUGACAUCCUCAUUUUCUGCAAAGGAAUCAAGAGAGACAUUUUGGCUCUAAACAAGCUCAUUGAAGCCUAUGCUCAAGUCUCUGGUCAAUAUAUUAAUCCAAGUAAGUGCAAAUUCUUCUCCACCCAAGCUACUCCAGCUAAGAUUGCCUCCCUUUCUGCUUGGUUGGGUUUCUCUAGGGGCAGCUUUCCCUUCUCUUAUCUGGGAGUCCCUAUAUUGAAAAGGAAGCCUAGGGCCAUCCACCUUCAACCUAUAGCUGAUAGAAUUGAGCUCAUGCUGGCUAAGUGGAAAGGCUCAUCUCUUUCCAACAUGGGCAGGGUUGAGCUGGUUAAAUCCAUUAUACACAGUAUGUUGACUUUCAGCUUUCAAGUCUAUUCCUGACCAAGUUCUCUGCUGAAAUUUAUUGACAAAAGCAUAAGGAACUUCAUUUGGUCUGGUAAUAUUAACACUAGAAAGCUUGUCACUAUGGCUUGGCACAAGCUCUGUACUCCUACUAAUGAAGGAGGUCUUGGUCUGAGGUCAAUUGCUGAAAUGAAUCAAGCUUCCCUGCUGAAACUUGCUUGGGGUAUGAGGUCUUCCUCUCAGGAAUGGGCCUUAUUUUACAGAGCCAGGUUCUAUAGAGCCAAUAGGAAGCAGGAAACCUAUGUAAAGUCAUCAAUUUGGCCUGGUAUCAAAAGAGUCUAGACUAUAAUCAAUGACAACUCUAGAUGGGUAGUUGGUAAUGGAGCUAAUAUACACUAUUGGCUAGAUAACUGGCUUGGUAGUCCUUUAGCCACCACUCUGAACAUUCCUCAGCAGCUUUAUUCCUCCUUGAAUGCAAGAGUUGAAGAUUUUAUCCAGGACAAUCACUGGUUAAUCCCCUCAUGGAUGACCUCUAUGCACCCUACAACCUUGUCGUCAGUCAUUAAAAUUCGUGUUACAAAUCAGACUCAAAAGGAUAAGCUAGUAUGGAUUCACUCUACUGAUGGUGGCAUGAGUAUGAAAGAUGCAUACAAUUUCUUCAAGCCAGGACAGACUCAAAUCAAUUGGUGUAAGAAAAUCUGGUCUAGCUUCAUUCCCCCAACAAAAUCAUUCAUAGUUUGGAGGCUGCACAAUAUUCUUGAUGUUAACCUUCAGAAAAGGGGCAUCCAUCUGGCCUCUACCUGCUACAUUUGUCAUGCUGCAGAGGAGUCAUCUAAUCACCUUUUCUUUCAAUGCAGUUUUGCUCUUGAUUUAUGGCACUGGCUUGAAAACAUUAUUGAUUUACCUUUGAACAGCUCCUCUAUUCAGAGCCUUUUGAGGGUGUGCAAGUCUAAUUGGAGUCCUCAACUUAACUUGGUAGUCACUGCUAGCAUAGUCAACACCAUCUCGACUAUAUGGUAUUGUAGGAACCAGAGUAGAUUUGAUGAUACAAAAGUUGGUUUCAUGCAAGCUUGUGAUAUGAUAAAUAGGGACAUUGCACUCACUGGAAAUCUAUCUACUUUGGCUGCUAAUCCUACCCUUUUUGAAUUUUCUACAAUUCGUAGAUUCAAUUGCUCUCCUCAUUACACUCCUGCUCCUGCCAUCACUGAAGUCAGAUGGCUUCCUCCUCCGUAGGGGUGGAUCAAAAUCAACUAUGAUGGUGUUGCCCAUGGUUAUCCCGGUCACGCCGGAGGUGGUGGUAUCUUUAGGGACAACAACGGGGACAUGUUGGGAUGUUUUGCUACCUAUCUUCACAUACAAGACUCUCUUUUUGCUGAGCUUUUUUCUGCAAUCAUGGCAACUCAGAUAACUAGCUUGAAGGGUUGGAGGGAGGUUUGGUUGGAGUGUGACUCAAGUUUGGUAGUUGAAAUUGUCAAGGGCAACAAAGAUCCUCCUUGGAAGCUUAGCAACUACUGGGAGCAUUGCAAGAGGAUAAUUCCUUCCUUGAGGCUCAAGGUUUCUCCCAUUUUCAGGGAAGGAUGGACAAACUAGCUUCCUACAGAGUGAACUCAAGAUACACUUCUUGGUGGAAUUUGGUCCCCCCCUUUUCUUGCUACGGAAUUUCAUAGGAAUAGAUACCUAUUGCCUAAUUAUAGGUUCAAGAAUAUGUAAUAGUUCCCUUUGUUUGUACUCUUUCUUGGUAAUAUAUCAUUAGGUGCCUUGACACCCUUGCUUUUAAAAAAAAGUACAUCAUUCAUUUGUAUUACUGAUAUGUAAUUGUAUUGUUUAUAUUAAAAAUAUUGUGGGAUCAUACAAUGUGUGAAGUUGCCACUAGUUGACAUAUAUAAAUAAAAACAUAAAUACUGAGAGAAAAAAAGACUAAGAAAGUAUUUAAUACUUUGCUAUAUAUAUUUGUAUAAAUGGGACCAAUUAUAUCAAGAGCAAACCAGACCAAAUUGGGUUUUCUUUCAAAUAUGGCUAAGAUCUUGACUGUAUUUGUGGUUGGAUGAGGUUAGGGCGUGCAAAAUCAUUUAAAAUCAGGCUGGACAAGAUUAAGGAAAACCAAUUUUUUAAUAUGAAAACUACAUUAAAACAAGGAAAGUUAUAAGUAUCAUAUUUGUUUAUACACUUAUAUAAAUGCAGCAUUUUAUUUUAAUCGUACUCUAGUGAGUUGAAAGCCAUUUUAGCUUUUAUCAUAUAAGUAUAUUAAAAUAAUAAUUGAUCUUAUGAUAUUAGCCCAUAUUUUUCAACGAGUUUUGCAUUUUAGUCUGGUAUAAAUAUGUUAGUGUUAUAUAAUGUUAUCUAGUUAAACCAUUGUUACCGAUAUAAGACUAUUGAGCAAGAUAUUACAUAUUAAUCACAACCUUAUUUUACCAUUAUAAAAAAACACAAAUAUUGAAUGAAAAAACUGAGAAAUUAUUUAAUAUUUUAUUAUAUAUUUAUUUAAUAAUUUAUUGUACAUUUUUAUUUAACAAUGAAAGAUGCAAAAACUACAAUUCAUUAAGCUAAUAUAAAGGAAGGAUUAGAAUAAUGAAAUUGUGUAUCAUAAAUAAAGCAUGUGAAAAGAACUUAUUUAAUAACCUACCAUUGAUAACAUAGAUGAAUGUAAUUAAGUGAAAUAAGUGAUAUAAACUUCAAUAAUUGGUAAAGUAAAAAAGACAAUAAAUUGCACCCAAAAAAAGAUGAAUAUGAAAAGGAAGAAACAUGAAAAAAAAUAUUGCUUUUGGGCAAAAAUAUCCUACCUUAACUUCAAAUCAAGUGAAUGAAAAUGAUUUGAUUAAUAAAAAAGUACAUAACAUCGUUUCAUGCUUUGAUUCCUUUCUCCCUACUCUACUCUUAGUGCUUUCACUUCUCAUCUAGCAAUUGUUCAUGGAUUUAGUCUCUCGGGUUGAGAAUAUAACAAAGCAAAAAGUUAUAUUCUUAAAUGGAAAUAAAAUGGGUUUCCACUUUUCUGAUGAGUUAUGGAGGUGGAAAUAAAUGUCAUCCAAAAAAUACAAAUCACACUUAAUUGGUUUUGCUCCCAGGCAAAAACAUCCUACCUUAACUUCAGGCAAAAAAAGUACUUUCACUUCUCUUACAACAAUUGUUCAGGGAUUCAAUCUCUUAAGUUGAGAAUAUAACAUUCUUAAAUGAAAAUUAAAUCGAUUUCCAUUUUCUAAUGAAUUAUGCAUGUGGAAAUAAAAGUCAUCCCAAAAAUACACAUCACGCUUGAUUGUUUUUCAUCGCAUGAGUACAAUGGUUACAAUAUUAUUAUAGUGUAAUACCUAUCUUGUCAUUUUUUAAAUUUAUACAUAAUUAAUAUAUCAUGUAUCAUUCAUUUAUAUUACUUGUAUUUAUUUGUAUUACAUAUAAUUUGAAAAACAAUUAUGUGGGGUGAUACAUUUUGUGAAGUUGCCACUAGUUGACAUAUAUAAAUAAAAACGUAAAUAUUGAGAGUAUAAACAUAGAAACUAUAUAAUAUUUUAUUGUUUAUUUAUUUAAUAAUUUAUUAUAUAUUUUUAUUUCACAAUGAAAGAGGAAUAAACUAUCAUUCUUUGAACUUAUAUAAAGGAAUGAUUAGAAUAAUGAAAUUAUGUAUCAGAAUAUUAGAAAUAAAGCAUGUUAAAAGAACAUAGUUAAUAAGCUACCAACUAUAACAUAAAUGAAUGUAAUUAUGUGCAAAUUAGUGAUAUGACUUCAAUAAUUGGAACACUAAAAAACACAAUAAAAUGCACCUCAAAUUAGAUGGACUUGGAAUGGAAGAAACAUGAAAAUAAAUAUUGCUUUGGGAAAAAAUAUCUCACCUUAAUUUCAAAUCAUGUGAAUGAAAAGGAUUUGAUUUAUAAGAAACUGAACUAAAUCGAUUCAUCCAUUGAUUCCUUUCUCCCCACUCUACUCUCGGUGUUUUCACUUCUCUCACAACAAAUGUUCACGAAUCCAGUCUCUCGAGUAGAGAAUAUAAUAAAGCAAUAAAGUUAUAUUCUUAAAUGAAAAUUAAAUGGAUUUCCAAUUUUAUGAUGAAUUAUGGAGUUGGAAAUAAACGUCAUCCAUAAAUUACAAAUCACACUUAGUUGUUUUCAUCACAUGUGUCACACCGUGAAUUUUCUGUGUAUGUUUUAUUAAUUAUUUAUUUUAAAAAUGAUUAAUUUUAGAAAUUAAUCGGUAUUGAAUUAGACUAAACCGUAAUUGAAUGUUAGUCUUUUUUUGUGAUUUUCUAUUUUCUGGAAAAUUUUCGUUAUUUUCUGUGACGGGAAGGUUUUGAGCUGGUGUCGGGCCCAAAUUCAUCCGAAUUCGGCCCAAUAAUGUGUUUUUGAGUUCCGUACCUCGGAAUCGAAUUCUGAUUGAGUCGUUGGCUUCGAAAUAUUAUUUCGAGUCAAGAUAGACAUCAAGUUUAUCCAGAACGCAUUUCUAAUCAUUUUUCACUCCGAAUUCCGUGUUUCGAAGUUCUAACCGUAAACCAAAAUCGGGAGAUUUUUAUUAUCCGUCCGGGUAUUAGCCGACAAUACUCGGGAAUGGUUUAAUCGAGAAUGUGUUAUCGAAAAGGUCACAUCACUUUCAUGUAAGAAGCUUGCUUGUUAAACAAGCAAAAAUACAUAUCCUCUUUCACAAAAUCCCCUAAAUCACUCAACAAAUCCUCUCACUCCACCACCAUUAGACACAUAACCUAUGCUAGUCUAAAUCUACUUACUUUGCAUUAAAUUUUAUGAUUUGAUGAGGGUGAGGCUCUCCUAUAAAUACCUCACCCCAUUCUCUCAUUUAUACACUAAAUUUCCUAUACAAACUAAGGUAGUCUUUUAUUUUCUCUUCUUCAUCUUCUUCUCAUACUUCAUAGAAAGUUAUGAGCUUUUAUUAUGUUGUNNNNNNNNNNNNNNNNNNNNNNNNNNNNNNNNNNNNNNNNNNNNNNNNNNNNNNNNNNNNNNNNNNNNNNNNNNNNNNNNNNNNNNNNNNNNNNNNNNNNUUGAAAUUUCUUCCUUGUUCUUAGAUGGAAAAACUAUAUCUUUGGACAAGGUUAGAUGAGUUAUUUGUUUGGAAAUAUUAGAAAUUAUUUGUUAGUAUUUGAAUAUGUUUAAAGGUAAUGAUUUUAAGAUCAAAGGAACCUUUAAUGUGUUUAGGAAAAAGUUUGUAUUUUGUUCUUGAAAGUUUAUGAUGUUGAUGAGUUGUUGUUGAAAAUGUUUAAUAUUUAGAAAGUAUUGUGUUUAAAAAUGGUUUAGCAUAUUUUACUCUUUGAUUUCCAAGUUAAAAUAAUGAUUUGGGAUAAAAGAUGAUUUAUUAAAGUCUUGACUUCAUAAACUUAAAGUGUUAUGAAGUUUUGGAUAUUAAAGUAGUAGAAAGUCUUACCUUAGGAUUUAUUUUCAUAACUACGAAAUUAACACUUACUAACCCUUGGGGUUUUUCCUAAAAUAUUAGGAGUUGUUAAGAUGUUCAUGAAAAAUUGUUGUAUUUAUUUUAGUUAACUUAAUUUAAAGCGGUAAGAAUAACUAAAAGAUGUUUAGUGUAAAAUAUUAAAUUAAGAGUCAUUCUUUNNNNNNNNNNNNNNNNNNNNNNNNNNNNNNNNNNNNNNNNNNNNNNNNNNNNNNNNNNNNNNNNNNNNNNNNNNNNNNNNNNNNNNNNNNNNNNNNNNNNAUUUACCUAAAAGUCUUGACUUUAUAAACUUAAAGUGUUAUGAAGUCUUAGAUGGUAAAAUGAUUUAAAAAUGUUGAAUCUUAGUUAAGUGAACUUACUUUAAAAUGGUAAGAUUUACUUAGAAAAUAUUGAUUUAAAAGUAUUGAUUUUGUUUAAAUUGAUUUACUUUAAAAAUGAUAAGUCUAGCUUAAUGAUCUUAUUUUAAAAGGUUAGUUUUAGUAAAAGUGUUUUACUUACAAAAAAUAAGAUUUAUGAACUAUCAGAAAAAUGUAAUGAAGUGGGAAUACUUGUCUAGAAAUGUUCUGUCUAAGGAAAGAUUUGGUAUUUAAGGGUGUCUUUACGACCCACCUCUCUUUUCUGGGAACUAGCCUAACGUAUAUCCACGUAUUACGACAUAAUUCCGGUAUAAGUUUUAUUGAAAAUCUUACUUUAAAAAGUGUUAUUUGAUUGUAAGACUUUCAAUGAAAAAUGAUGAUUCAAGGAUAUUCAACCUUGAAUCGGAUGGACGAAAGCAAUUAAAUUCAUUUUGAAUCGCAAGUUUUAUCUUCGCGUAAAAAGUUAUUUCGUAAUAUAAUUAUUAUCGUCAGUUAACUAAUUAAUGUUAUUUUGGUGUAAUGACGAGUUCGAGAGGAGAUCGGAUCAAGUAAGCUCACCUGCAAACAGAGAACCUAGUGACUCGACACACUCAUGUGAAGGAGAAAACAUCGUGACACAGUGGUGUCCGAAUAUGCAUCCAAACCUCCAAAUUCCCUCACAAUAUGGGGCAUGCUCAGCGUAAAGAACAUCCUUUAUCUCAAAAUAGUGAGCAAAACAAGCAAUGAAACUACCAUUUUCCUCUCUAAAAAUUCUAGCACCUCCAGCCUGACCCGAAGAACCAAAAGCUGCCCCAUCAGUGUUAACUUUAAAACAUCCCAGUAAAGGACAUUGCCAUAUUACUUCCACGAUUUUAGGACUCUUCCUAUGAUUCAUUUGAAUUCCCAGACCACGCAGGAUUGUGAAGUCUCUGAUGGAGGAGUUGGAACAAGAAGAAGUUAACUUCCCAGAUAAGGUAAUGUCCACCUUGAUGUUUGAUAUGAUGUUGUUAAUAGGAAGUCUUCUGUCAUCAAACUUGGAAUUGUUUCUAAUACUCCACAUGUUACUUAUUGCUAGGAUGAUGCAGUUCAGGAAAACCUCUCUCAAUUGAGGACUCCAACACUGAUUCUAAGAAUCAAGAUACUCAUGAACAAAUUUAGUGUUGAUAUUACAAGUGAAAAGAUUGCCAAUCCAGUUCCAGAUAUGAGAAGCCAAAGAAUAUGUAUGAACCCCUUCUUUGAAGAUUCCAAUGUGGACUUACAAAUGCUACACUAAGACACUAGAUGACAACCCCUUCUUUGAAGAUUGUCAUCAGUAGGCAAUCUUUGGUGAAUCCAUCUCCAAACAAUGAAAGAUUUAUUAGGAAGAAUAACUUAGGACCAAAUAAGCUUAAACCAUCUUUGUCAAAUAAGCUUAAACCAUACUUGAUUCAUACUUGUUGGGUUAAAGUGCAGAUAAGUCUACUUGGAAGUGAGAAUGCCAUCAAAAGCAUAUUGCCAAACUAUUCGGUCUUGAGAAUUAGUUCUGAUGGUUCUGAUAAUAUGAAAUUGAGUGUGCUUUAGCACUCAUAGCUUUAUCUAAAAAAUAUCUCUUUGCGUCUGAAUUGAUUUAGUAGUAUUUCAAUAAAAAUGAUAAUUUUUUAAGCUUAGUCCACUGAUAUUGAUGUUUUAGCAGGUUUGGGAAAUGCAACUAUGGAAGGCUGGUCUUUCAAUGUCCAAUGAAAAUCAGUAUAUAUCAUCUUCUAGAGUUACUAUUGUAUGCAACAUUCCAUUGCAUGAGCUGCAAAUUAAAAUCUAAUACUGAAAAGCUUAAGAAGUAAAAUAACAUGGGCACACAAGGUUUCUUGCUUAUAGAGGGAAUGACUUGUUUCCUUGGAAAAAUGUUAAGAUAUCUAUCAAAUCUUCUUGGAAUCUGAUUUAAAAACCAAUAAUUUGAGACACAACAUUUCCAACCACUUUCAAAGUACCAUGUGUGAACUUCAAAAGUGUAAAAAAUAAUAGAGAAAAAAAUGUUUAUUCUAACCAGAGGAAAAAAAACAAACUGCUCCUAACAGUGGUUAUUCUGUAAAAGUUUUAAAACAAGCAAAUGAUAACCUAUAUCAAAAGUGUUGAUUUUGGCCAAUAAUCCUAACCAAACGCCAUAUGAAAUAAGUUCAUAUUUAUAUGGAUAUUAGAGUGGAUUUAUGUUAGAAAUUAGAGUAACCAAACUGUGUAAGAUAAUCAAAUCAACUCAGUUCCUAAUCUAUUGAUUUCCAAACGUAAAUUUAAUAAUGUAAGGUAGAUCAAAUCAUUUCCAAAUACCAAUUCUAAUUUAUUUCAAACACUAGCUAAUAGGCAAUAUACCCAGGACCCAUGUUAAUUUGAAAAAUAAAUCUGUAAAGGUUAAACUUGAUUAUAUGCCAAAGUCUUGCAUAUUUAUUCAGAGAGAACUAGUUCAAGUGACAUCAACUCAAAGAUGCAACAACUGUACAAGACCUUUUCCCAGUAAGUGAGAAAAGACUUGAGAUAUUCUCUGGAAAUUCACCAAAGUUAAUUUAUUUCUCUGUCUACGUCAUAUUUUAUUGUUUAUCAUAAAUAAGGUGCAAUUGUAAGGCAAGACACAAUAGGAAGAGGAGUAUAUAUCAUGUCCAACAAUUUGCCUCAUCCUAUGUGUCAUCAACUGUGAUCAGUUUGAGAAAUAUUUAAUAAUUAAAUAUUUAAUUUAAGUAUAUAUUUAUCAACAAAUCACAACUGGUAACACAUUGAAUAAUACAAAUUACAGGAUAUCAGAAUGCUCCCAAUAUGUAGAGCCUAAGGUUCUGCAAAGAGCAUGAAAUCUCUGCAUUCUUGGCAACUACAGUACUCAAAGCGGCACAUGAUGCAGCCUCCAGAAUAACAAGUGGUGCAGCCUUGACAACCUGAAGAUCGAGUGCAUUCCCUACUGGUUCUGAGACCUAAUCGCUCUUGAGCACUAUCGCAUGUUAUUCUGACACAUCAAAUCAAUCACAUUCAUUAAUUAACAUACAUAUUGGAACAAAUCCCACGGUAACAUACUGGAAUCUACCAUAAUUAUAUUCUAGUUUACCAUAAGCUAAAUUAGGUUUGGUUUGGUCAUAGACAAAACAGGUGAAGCACUAAUGAAAGGGACAACAGACAACAUAUGGUGUAUUAUGGAGGAGGUAACUAUUUUUUUUAAGACAAAGUGCCUAAGCACCGAAAAUUAGAUUAAUAAUGAGAAGCCAAGAACAAUAGGAGGUCCAUUACAAAUUUAAGAACCUGUAGAUGGAAAGACCCAACCAAUUUCUAUAGCAAUUACUAUGAAUAAAAGAAGGAAUUGAAUUCCACCAAGUGUAAGUAAUGGAAGAGAUUCCAAACUUAGCCAAACUGUCAGCACAAGCAUUUCCUUCUCUGAAGAUGUGGGAAACCUUGAAGUUCAUAGAAGCAAGGUGAGUUUUACAAAUGGUCCAUCUAGCCUGAAGUUUCCAAGGCACUUUGGAUUUGCCAUUGAAAAUGUCAACUACAAGGGAAGAGUCACAUUCUAACCAUAUAGAAUUCUAACCUUUUUCAUGAGCACAAUCAAUAGCUAAGAUUGCAGACUUCAUUUCAGCAUAAAUGGCAUCCUUGAUACCAUAGGAAGCAGCAAAACAUGCAAUGAAAUUACCCUGGUCAUCCCUGAAAAUACCACCAUCCUCUACAACACGAGGAGAACCAAAAGCUGUCCCGUCAGUGUUAACUUUGAUCCAACCACAAGAGGGAAAACGCUAGAUAACUUCCACCAUUUUUGGGCUCUUUCUGUGGUUGCAAUUAAUAUGCAAACUUCUAAGAAUGGAGAUAUCCUUGAUGGUAGAGUUAGAGAAGGAUGAGCCAAGAUUGUCGGAUAAAGAAGUUUGCACCUUGAUGUUAGAUAUGAUAGAGUUUAAGUUCCACUGCUUAUCCUCAAAUAUGGAAAUAUUUCUAACAAACCAAAUGUUGCUGAUUGCUAAGAUGAUACAAGUAGAUAUGACCUCCCUCACUUGAGGACUCCAGCUCUGAAUACCACUAUUAAUUGCAAUAAAAAAGAGAGCCUAUCCAGGACCAAAUUAAAGAAGCUAAACUGCAGGUGAGGAAAAGGUGGUCAGAAGUUUCUAUGCUUUCUUUACAAAUACUGCACAUGGAGACCAGGUGACAACCUCUUUUAAUUAGAUUGUCAUCUGUUGGAAGUCUUCUAUGGAUCCAACACCAAGUGAUGAAUGAUUUGCUAGGGGGAAUUGAUUUAUUCCACAGAAGCUUGAAACAAUUUAGAGGGUUAGCAGUUGGAGAGCAAUGCUUAUAAGCUUGCUUGAGAGAAAGAAUUCCAUCAGCAGAGGGUUGCCAGAUGAAGUUGUCCUUGGAAUUGGAUAUGAUUAUUUUGGUGAGUUGAUUAGAGAUUUCAGGGUAGUGAGAAAGAAGGAUCCUUGGAAUGAUCCAUGUGUUACCCUCUAUAAAAUCCGCAACCUUAGCAUUAAGAGGUGAGUGAUACUCCUUAGGAAUAUUAAGAGAAGUCACCAAAGGUAGCCCUAGCCAAUUGUCUUUCCAGAAGUUUGUAACCUUACCAUCACCAAUUAGAUGAAUGGAGUUGUUCUGCAUUGAACACCAAUGCUGCUUGAUGUCCUGCCAAAUUGAGGAGCUGAAAAAUCUGGUUGAAGAAUUAAAGUGAGCACCAAAUCUUUGCCUAAAGAAGAAGGCCCACUCUUGAUUCGAAGACAUCAUCUGCCAAGCCAGUUUGAGCAGACCAGCUUUGUUCAUCAGGCUAACCGAUCUCAGACCAAGACCCCCUUGAUUGGUUGGAGUGCAGAUUGUCAUCCAUUUGACAGUAUAAAUUUUCCUAACAUCACUGUCUCCAGCCCAGAUAAAGUUUCUUAUCUUCUUAUCUAAAGCCUUGAUGAGUUGAAUAGGCCAAGCAUAGAAAUGAAAAGUGUAGGAGAGCAUGUUGUGGAUAACAAAUUUCUCCAACUCCACCCUUCCCAUGAUAGAAAGACAUGCCCCUUUCCAAUUUGCCAGUUUGUUAGCAAUUUUGUCAGCUAUAGGUUGGAGAUGGACCUUUUUGGGUUUCCCUUUGAAAAGAGGAGCUCCCAAAUAAUUGAAAGGCAAUUGGCCAGAGGAGAAACCCAGGUAGGAGGAAAGAAGGGAAACUUUCCAUGGAGAGGCAUUUCUAGUGUAGAAUUUGCAUCUAGAGGCAUUCAAAUGUUGACCAGAAAUUGCUGCAUAAUCAGCAAUGAGGUGAUUGAGACAGAGAAUUUCUCUCUUAAUGCCUUUGCAGAAGAUCAGAAUAUCAUCAGCAUACAGAACAUGGCUAGUAGUUUGUAAUCUUCAUGGAUCAGAAAUAGAGCUCAAUUUACCUUCUUCCACCAAUCUGUUAAUCCCUCUGCUGAAUACAUCUUCAGCAAUGCAGAAUAAGAGAGGGGAUAGAGGGUCACCCUGCCUCACACCCCUUUUGCAACCAAAAAAACCAACAGUUUGCCCAUUAAUAUUGAUUGAUAGUCUAGUAGAUUUUAGAAUCAUGUCAAUCCCGGUGAUGAAUAGUUGGCUAAAACCAAAAGCCUUGAGAGUGGGUAGAAGAAAAUUCCAAUCCAUCGUGUCAAAGGCUUUUUUAAUAUCAAGCUUAAGGAUCAUAUUGCCACCAAAAAUUUUGUGAUCAAGAAGGUUGGUUGCUUCUGAAGCAAGGCAAAUGCAAUCUAAUAUGUGUCUAUCUUUUAGGAAACCUCUUUGUUGAGGAGAGACAAUUCUAGAGGCAAUCUUGGCUAGCCUAUCAGCAAGCACCUUGGUUAUAAUUUUGAACUGAAAGUUAGCCAGAGCUAUAGGUCUAUAAUCUUCAACCUUGUUAGCUUCAGGGAAUUUUGGAAUGAGAACCAAAUUACUAGCAUUCAAAUUAGGAAGGAUCCAGCCUCUAUUGAAAAAUUGCAUCACAGAAUUAUAAACAUCCUCACCAACAAUAUCCCAGUAGGUUAGGUAGAAACAACCACUGAAUCCAUCAGGGCCAGGAGCACUAUUCCCUUUCAUGGCAAAAACCACUCCUUUAACUUCAUCCAUAGAAGGAGGAUUGGUUAACAUCUGGUUUUCCAACGCAGUAACAGAAGAAGGAAUAACAAAGUAUAUCAAGUGAGACUGGGAAGUAACAUUCUCAGUGGCAAAGAGCUUUUCAAAGUAAUGAAGGACAUGAUUAUGAAUAUCUUAUUUGCUAGUUAGGAUUGUAUCACCCACAUUCAAGGAAUUUAUUCCUUUAGUGGCUUGGCGGAUUUUAGUAGUUCUAUGAAAGAAGGAAGUAUUCCUGUCUCCAUAAGUAUACCAAUCACACCUAGCUUUUUCUUUCCAGAAAAGCUCCUCCAUAUUAAGAGCAUGCAACAGGAUUUUUUGGGCUUCUUCCUCUUGCUCCCUCAAGUCAUUCUGAUGCUUAGCAUUCUGGAUUGACUCCACAACAGCCAUAUCAUUUUUCACAUUGAUCUAAAUGUUACCAAAAGUGCUUAUGUUCCAAACUUUAAGCACUUGUCUAAGAUUUUUGAGAUUUUGAGAUAAGAUGAACAUUGGACAACCAAAGACUCUGUUUCUCCAAGACUCAGCUAUAGUUCUUUUGCAGUCAUCAUGGAGAGUCCACAUUUUGUGGAAUUUGAAUUGAGAUAUCCUUUGAUGAUUGAUCAAUUCGGAGCAAAAUAACAGGGGAUGAUUGUCAGAAGAGAUCCUAGGCAGGGUGCAGCAAGAGAUUUGAGACCAAGCAGAAAUCCAAUCUUCAUUACGAAGAAUUCUAUCUAACCUUUUUUCAGUUAGAGAUAAGCCUAUUCUCCUAUUAGACCAGGUGAAAGGAUUACCUGUAGUUGGUAAAUGGAUCAGGUCUGAGCCAUCAGAAAAAUCUUUGAAUUCACUGGGAGGCAGAGUAGCAGGUAAUCUAGGACCUUUGCAUUCAUGAGAACCCAAAAUUACAUUAAAGUCUCCAAUACAGCACCAAGGACCCAAAUGAGUAUGAAUCAGACCUUAUAACUCAAACCAGAAAGACCUUCUUUGAAUGUAAUUCGUGUGAGCAUAGAUAGCAUUUAAGUUGAUAUCAAUGCCCUCAAUAUUAAUAGCUAUAGAUCUCUGCUGAUCCGAGUUGGAGAUGAUCAGAGGAUCCAACCCAACCUUACAUAAGCCCCAAAUAUUGGAUAUCUGGUUGUGUCUAUUGUUAACAAUAAAAAGCUUUAGAUUUAACUCCUUCCAGAAAUUGGAGUUAACUAAAUCAUCAGAAAUCCAAGGUUUAGCUAAGAAAACCAAGUCAGGAUUGUGAGAAUGACAAAAUUUCUUUAAAACUAACCUUGUGUUAAGGUUAACAAAGCCUCUACAAUUCCAGUAGAUGACUUUCAUUGAAUACUGUUUGAAUGCCCACCCCUUCGGGUGAAAUGACUCUGUCAUUGUUGUCAUUUUUCUUCAAUUUUUUCUUCUGGGAUUUGCUCGAGACUGGAGUGAAACUUCUAUCUUGUAAUUCAACCUCCACAUCUUCUUCAUCAGCCCAAAGUCUCCCUACAAUCCUUAUGUCAUUAGCCACAGUAGGUUUUGCUAUGUCUUCAGUCUCUUGCACCAUAAAUUCAUUUUCCAGUUCUUGUUGCAGGAUGAAAUCUUUAUCAGCUAGAGUAUUAUCCAGCAGAACUGUGUUUAAUCCUUCCAUACUAGGAUCUCUCCUCAGAAAGUUUUCUGGAGUGGUAUCUACUUUUUCUAAGAGAUCCAUAUUGAUAUUUUCCCUAUUUUCAAUAUCCAGAUCAAUGGGUAAGUCAUUGAUGACUAUAUCAUUCUGGAUUGUAUCCUUUGUUUUGGAAAGGUGUGAUUCCUUGUGCUGAUUCUUGUGUCUAACCUUAGAUGUCUCCUCCCCCAUUGGUUUCUUUGUCACUUUUCUACAGCUAGAAAUUAGGUGACCAAUGGUAUUGCAUCCAGAGCAGAUAUCAGGUAAAUUUUCAUACUCAAUAUUCACAAAGAAACCAAAUCCUUCUCUUUCAACUAGGAUUUGAUUAGGCAAAUCCGCUUUAAGGUUGAUUUCCACUAGCACUUUUUCAAAGUGGCCAAACGAUGUAUUACUUGUUGCACCAUCCAUAGAGAUUGGUGUACCAACACCACCUGCAAUAGAAAAAAUUAUUUUCGGGCUCCAAUACUCUUGAGGUAAACCAAUAAUUCUAAUCCAAGAUUGAGAAUGAGUUUGCUUUUGCAGGUGCGGAUUAAAAUCUAGAGUCUAGAGGAAUAAUCUUAAAAUGCCAGGCUUAAGAUUCCAGGUUCCCGAAGAACAGAUCAACCUCAUAUCUUCCAAGGAGGAGAAGGAGAACUCAUAAAAUCCUUUGCCUAAGGAUAACAUAUUCCAUUUACCCACCAUAUUCCAUAGAGAGGAAAGUUUAUUUUUCAGAUCCAGGACAGUAUCCCCCUUGGUUAGAAUGAUUCUACCAUGAAGAUGAGAUUUGCACCUUUGUAAACUCGCUCGGUAUUCUGCCUCGGGUAUUCUAAUGGCUACUGCAUCACCCUUCAUACAAGGUUGGGGGAUUUGAUAAGAGGCUAUAUCACAUGUAUGACCCAAUAUUUGGGCAAAUGUUUUUUUCGGGGUUGGUGGAUUUUCAAGUAUUCCCGAUUUUGUAUUCCCUUCCUUGUUGCUUCCAUCUAGAAAACUCCAUGGUAUGUAUUAAGUUGUCAUGAUAGCCAAUCCAAGAAUUGUGGAACAGAGUUCCCAGAAAUUGGGAGAACUCUAGUUUUUCAUUUGAGAGGAAAUUUUUGAUCAGGUAACUAUUUAUUCCCUUUUUGAUUUAUACAUUUAAAUGUCUAAUAAAUAAUAAUGAUAUGCAAUAAGAAAUAAUAGUUUCUUAACCUAUCAUAAAAGGUGACAACAACAUAUCUUAUCUAAUAUCAAAAUUAGUAUUAAACUAAUUUCUUAUUUCUUUUUUUAUUAUCAGACCUUACAAAGUAAAUGUUUACUUAGUAUUAGGUAGUUUAGAAGAGAAUCAAUUUUUUAUGGGAUAUAGAUCAUUUGUUCCUAUUGAUGUCUCAUUCCUUGUCUCGGGCUAAUGAUAUAUUGCCAUAUGAAAAAAAGAAAGUUUUUAAAAUCAAAAAACAACAUUUUGACUGACUCGAGACACAGAAUGAGAUACCAUACGAGAUAUGUGAUCUCUAUCCCAUAUUAUGAUGUUAGAAAGUUCAAUAUCAUUAAGCUUAAGAAGUCGGUUGAGAUUAACUUACUUUUGAUAAGGCCACACAGAACACUUCCACACUUUAUUCUUCAGAGCAGCAUGAUAUUGUCCAAUUUGUUGCCUAGUCUUGAGACAAAAUCUACGCUCCUUUUGGUAACUAGAACAACGAAUGAACUCAUCCAUGUGACAAGUACGUUUGUGGUUUGCAGCAUCUAUCCAGUUUGGAACAUUUGCUAGAUGUGUGUAGUACUUAAACAGUGGUGUCCUCCAAAGAGGAACUUUGUCUUCUUCUUCAGUAUGAACCCAUAUGUUGCUUUUCCAUUUUCCAUUACUUUUUAUGCCAGCAUGCUUUUCAAAUUCCACCAGUGUCACAUUCACUGAUCAUUAGAGUAAAUAAAUUUUCACCAACUUUAGAAUUCUCACUUGUUACUACUUGUAUCAAUAUAUAAUCAAACUAUCAAAUAAUGCAUCACAUACAACAUAGGGAAAGAAUCCUUAUCUGUGUUAUAAUCGCUCAAUAACAAUAUAUCAUUAGUACCAUUUUUCUAUAGAGUAUCAAAUUAAGAAGAAGAGACUUAGUUGUCAAAACUAAGUUUAAUAUAUGACAUUAAGUGUAAGUAUCUAAGUUUAAUAAGACUUUACUUUAAAUCGAAGUAAAUAAGAGAAUAAUAUAAGGGUGCAUAGAAAUACUUGCAUGUGGUGCACUUAGAGUAACACUCACAAAUGAUUGAAAAUUGACCUUUGUCAUUAAUUCUAAGUUUCCCAAUGAAAUCUCCAUACUUUUUAUUUGUGCAGCCACAAAGAACCUCAAUAUAGUCACUUCCUCUUUCAUAACCUCUUACGUUCUUUAGAUCCUCUUCAUUAAAAGUUAUCACACCACCAUCUUCAAACACAGCCAGCUUUCUUCGUUUCCAUGUCUCUGAUUAUUUCAUGAGGAAAAUAGUUCCAAGCCAAUAAUUUAGACAAAAUUAAGUAUAAUAACAAAAACAAAAAUGUAUAACUAAUAAUGUUUUUAUUUGUAAACUGUAGCAAAAUAAAAGUGUAGAACAUAAGGGAAAUGUUGGAGGCAUAAACAUAAACUUAAAGCACCAACAACAAUUCUCUAAAAAAGUAAGUGUUCCUGGAACAUGUUGUUUCAAAAUAAUAUUAACUAAUUUAUGAGGUGUAUAUUGUUUAAAUUUUUUAAAAGGUGAACAUUUUUUGGCAUACAGGUUUAGAUCAGUGAUUGAAUGAAUUUUAGUAGUCUGUCAAAUAACAGCAUUCCAAAUAGUUGCAAAAUAUGUGGACAUCAUGCAUAAUAAAUAAGCUGAAAGGUUAUUUUCACCAUGGAGAAUGCAUAUCUUGAAUAAUAUCUAAAGGUGUUAUGGUAUAAAACUUUUGUGUUAUUGUUAAGAAUUGCUGUACAAAUAAUGGAUCUCAUACAUAAAACACUUCAAAAUUUAAACUAUUAUGUUCAAGAUCAUGCUUAUUACCCUUCAAUGAAUAGAUUCUCAAAAUAUAUUUUUAAUAUUAAAAGUAAAGAUGUACUGAAUUUUUGAAUCAUCUAAUAUUCAUUAAUUAUUUUUCAAUUAAAAAUAAUACUCAUGAAUAAUGUAGACAACUGUGUCGACAUUAUAAAGAACUUUAUAUCCACAAUAUAAAUUUUUUUAUAUUGACAAUACAUGCUCAAUAAACUCUCAAAAGUAUUGCUUCCUUCGAAAACAAUUUUGAAAUAUCAGCAAUUUGUAAUUAUCCUAUCAUAUUUCCCCAUAUCAAAUAAUACUUAUUUUUUGCUGCAGCGAUUUAGUGGUUGUGUUGGCUUAAGGGGAUUUACCUUCGUCUCUUUCGUUAAUAGCUCCUUUUAUUUCCAUUCCUGUGCAAAACACAUUAAUGGAACAAUCAAAACCUCAAUUAUAGUUCAUUAUUCCAUAUAUCACACUCCAUGGUUAUUUUAAUGACACAGCCCCUUACAAAAAUAUAAAAUUUAAUUAGGGUCUGUUUAGUUUUAUGUUGCUAUAAGUAAUUGCAAAUGUGUCACAUUAGUUUUAUUUUGUAAUAGGAAAUGGUGAAAACAAUAUUUCAUUGUUUUCGUCAUUUCCUAUAAGAAAAAUCAAGAAAAACAACACAAAUAAAAUGAAAACAAUGUAUAUAUUUUUUCAAAUAUUAACAGAAAACAUUUUUGUAACGAAUGAGAACCUAAUUUUUCCACUUGUUUCAAUCAUGCAAAUGGGUAUAAUGUUUUUUAGAAAACCUUAAAAAAUUGAUAAUAAAGUUCAGGGAUAUUUCUAUGGCAUUGCUUCUCUGGCAUGGGUUGCCUCUUGAUCAGAUAAUGCCCUAGACGGGAUCUAGCGUUAGUUUUCCACCGGAAAUCAUUUGGUCUAAGAAACCAAUGAAUUGAUUCUUCUUCCACAACUUAAUAGAAUAUAUAAUGCUAAAUUUAUAUAACUAGUGUGUUUAUAAAUCCUAACGGGGGAGCAUCCAGCAAUGGCGCACGACCAUAUUCUAGGAGAUUAAUCUCUUACCAAUCUGACAGUAGAAUAGUUUACAAAACAGAAAAAAUGUAAAACACAAUGACAAAAAUGUAAUAACGCAAAAAAAAAGACUCAAAAUCUAAAAGUUCAAAACAAUUAACUAUAAAUGAUUAUUGAUAAUUUAGAAAAAUAGGAUUUCAACAAUUUGGACUUAGCAACAUAAUUGAUGUCCCAUUUUACCACAAACUAACAUAAAACAAUUAUGAGUUUAAAAUAGCAGAUAUAAUGGUAGUAAAUACAACAUUUUAGUUUCAUUCAAGAGCAUUAGAGUUGUUUAUGUUCUUGAUGAUGGUGAUCCUCACCCUCUUCAUUCGAUGACACCUCUUGGUCAGCCACAAAAUGACAUAUAAUACCCAUUUUCACUUUCAUUUCCAAAUCAACAUCCAUUUGUCUAAAAGUAUAAUAAAAUGCUUUUUAUAUUACAAUGAAAGGGGAAAAAACUACAAUUCUUUAAGCUUAUAUAAACGAAGAAUUAGAAUGAAAUUGUGUAUCAGAAUAUCAGAAAUACAGAAUGUGAAAUGAACUUAGUUAAUAACCUACCAUUGAUAACUUAGAUGAAUGUAACUAUGUGCAGAUCAAUGAUAUGAACUUCAAUAAUUGAUAAAGUAAAAAACACAAAAUAAUUCGCCUCAAAUUAGAUGGAUUUGAAAAGGAAGAAAUCUCAAAACAAACAUCGCUUUCAGGCAAAAACACCAUACCUUAACUUCAAAUCAUGUGAAUUAAAAAGGAUUUGAUUUAUAAAAAAUUAAACUAAACUCAUUUCAUCCUUUGAUUCCUUUCUCCUUAUUCUACUCUUAUGCUUUAUUUGGUUGAUAUUAGAAUAAUGAAAUUGUGUAUCAGAAUAUUAGAAAUACAACAUGUGAAAUGAGCUUAGUUAAUAACCUACCAUUGAUAACUUAGAUGAAUGUAAUUAUGUGCAGAUCAGUGAUAUGAACUCCAAUAAUUGAUAAAGUAAAAAACCACAAAAAAUUUGCCUCAAAUAAGAUGGACUUGAAAAGGAAGAAACAUGAAAACAAACAUCGCUUUCAAGCAAAAACAUCAUACCCUAACCUCAAAUCAUGUGAAUGAAAAAGGAUUUGAUUUAUAAAAAAACUAAACUAACCCUGUUUCAUCCUUUGAUUCCUUUCUCUUCACUCUACUCUUUUGAUUUCUUUGGUUGAGAUUAGAACAAUGAAAUUGUGUAUCAGAAUAUCAGAAUAUCAUAAAUACGGCAUGUGAAAAGAACUUAGUUAAUAACCUACCAUUGAUAACUUAGAUUAAUGUAAUUAAGUGCAGAUCAAUGAUAUGUACUUCAAUAAUUAAUAAAGUAAGAAAAACACAAAUUUUUUUGCCUCAAAUUAGAUGAAUUUGAAAAGGAAGAAACAUGAAAACAAACAUCGCUUUCAGGCAAAAACAUCAUACCUUAACUUCAAAUCAUGUCAAUGAAAAAUGAUUUGAUUUAUAAAACAUUAAACUAACCUUGUUUCGUCCUUUGAUUCCUUUCUCCUCACUCUACUCUUAUGCUUUCUUUGAUUGAGAGGAGAAAGUGAGAAGAGAGAAGGAUCUGAAAGAGAUAGUAAAGAGAAAGAAGGAAAUGAGAAAGAGGUGAGAAAAUAAUUAGUUUUUUAUUUUGUUUGGUAUGAGUGAAAUGAAAGAGAGAGAGAGAGAGCGGGGAGAGAAAUAGGUAAGAGAAAAAACAAUAGAACAGAAUUAUAUUAUUAUAUACCAAGGCUGAAUUUCUCAUUUCAUAGUAUCCAACAAUUCCACUAGUUUUCUCUUCAUUAUUUAUGAGAGAUGGUUUUGUGUGGGUCCCAUAUGCUCUUUAGUCUCUCCACCCCUUCUCUCUUCACAAACAAAUGAUAGAAAAUACUAUUUUCUUUGCAACUUCUGUCCUCCUAACUUAUUUCCUAUUUUUUUACACAACCAAAUGAAGGCUUGGUGCUUUCACUUCUCUCACAACAUUUGCUCAGGGAUUUACUCUUUUGUUGAAUGGGUGAGGCACCCAAAAAAUUGUCUCCACCUUUGUCAAUUAUAGAGUUAGGUGGAUAAGAGUAUCACUUGUUCUCCUAACAUCUUUUCCCUAUUUUAAUAAAAUUCUUAUUGCUCAUAAACAAAUGUUCAUGUAUUCAGUCUCUUGAGUUGAGAAUAUAACAAAGGAAAAAUGUUAUAUUCUUAAAUGGGAAUUAAAUGGAUUUCCACUUUUCUGAUGAAUUUGGAGGUGAAAAUAAACGUCAUCCAAAAAAUACAAAUCUCACUUAGUUGUUUUUCAUGGCAUGAGUACAAGUGUUACAAUAAUAGUAUAGUGUAAUAUCUAUCUUGUCAUUUAUAACAUUUAUAUACAGUCAAUACAUCAUACGUCAUUCAUUUGUAUUACUUCACUACGCCAUAAUUCGUAUUUAAAAACGGUCAUUCAAUAACGCUUCCUAGCACAACUAUGUUAAAUACAAGACGAAAGAUAAUCAUCAAUGUUCCUUCUAAGCAAGUGAUGUUAAAGUUAAUAGGCAGAUAUAGCUUCAAUAACACUUGCUUCAACAUGCAGUGUUGUAUGUUUGCCCAAAAUAUUUAACAACACUCUUUUAAGAAAGCACUAUUGAUUUGAAUCUAUUCAACAAUGUUUGCUUAAACAAGUGUUGUUAAUGGUGACAUAUCAACGACACUCAUUACAAUGAGCGUUGUUAACAGUUACAUAUCUAACAGUGUUUGCUUUAAUGAGCAGUAUUAAAAGUCUCACAUAUAACAAUAUUUGCUUUAAUAAAGGCUAUUAAAAGUCAUACAUUCAAAAAACGCUUGUUUUAGUUAUUACAUAAUAUAUAUUUAAAAAAUUAUUUAAUUUUAUUUUGAAAGAUAUAUAAAUAUAUAUAUAUAUAUAUAUAUAUAACUAUAGUAAAUAUUACACGAAAAUAAUACAAAUUUUUUAUCAGAAACUCAUGCUAGUUUUUCAUAUAUAACACAACUUUGUCAUACAUAUAGGAAAAAGACAAUUAGUUAUUACUUAAAAAAUAUUCUAAAUCACCAACCAAUAUUAUUAAAAUAUAAUAUUAAGGUGGAUAAUUUGGUACAACAAAAAAAUCAUAUUUGGUAAGUAAAUUAUUUUAUUUGCUAUUCCAUUCUUAAAAGUUGAACAGAGUAUGACAACUAAAUUUUUUUAAAGAAAUUUGAUAUUUAAUAGCGUUUUUUUAAGCAAACGUUUUUUAUUUGAAUCUAUUCAAUAUCACUUGCUUAAAUAUGUGUUGUUGAAGGUGAUAUAUUAAUAGCGCUCGUAACAAUGAGCGUAUUAAAAGUCACAUAUUUAACAACACUUCCUUUAGUGAGUAUUGUUAAAAGUCAACAUUCAAACGAUGCUUAUUUUAGUGAGCGCGUAACUUUGCAGAUUUAAAAACAAAACCUCAUAUAGAGUAAUACACAUAUCAUUCAAUAUUCUAUUUCUCUUAUUCUUCUUCUCUUAGUUUCUCUCUUCAAGCAAAUUAUUAGCUUUUGGUUUCUCUCUUUGAGCAUAAGGUAAAUCAUUAUCUUAUUUUACCUCUUUUAUUUCUCUUUGAUUCACUCUUGUUGCUUGCAUUUACAUCUAUGUUAACCUUUACAUCUGUGUUAACUACUUAUUUUAUAAUACAGAAAAUGUCAAGGUUGAAUCAAGGUGGAGCUGUAAGUGAUUUGCCAAACUUGCAAUCUUUGUAUGUAUUUCUUUUAUUUGGCUAUUACAUUUUCAUCCAUAUUUUCUAUGUAAUUUGCUUUUUGAUUCUUAUUAUAUUAAAUCUGAACUUUGUCUUUCUAUCAUCUUAUUUCUUCAGUUAAGGGAGAGAAAUUUUUUAUGAAUUUAAUCUCUACAUCUUCAUCACCUUUGUCCCUAUUAUUACUACAUAUAACCUUAUGGGUUAAUGGAUUUGAACUAAGAGAGACAAAUUCAAUCAUUGAUUUAUGAAUUGGGUUUUUAGAAUGAUAUUUUUAUCGUCAAUUCUCUUGGAAAUAUAGUGAAAUUAGGUAUGUUUGUUAUGUGUUUGAUAUAAUGUGUGAGAGAGAUUUUGCCUUAUAUAAAAAGUAGACAUUUAACAUCACUGGCUUCACCCAGGGUGGUUAAAUGUUCACUUUCUAUGGCGCUUCACAAGCGUUGUUGAAUGACGAUUUUAAACAUUGUUGUUUUGCUAUUAUGGCGUAGUACUUGUAUUUAUUUGUAUUACUUAUAUUUUGAAAACAAAUUCUGUCAGGGGCAUACAUUAUGUGAAGUUUCCAGUAUUGGACAUAUAUAAAUAAAAAAAUUAAUAUUGAGAGAAAAAACUAAGAAAUUAUUUAAUAUUUUAUUAUAGAUUUUUGUUUAAAUGGUACCAAAUGCACCAAAAGGAAAUAGACCAAUUGGGCCCACUUUCAAAUAUGGCUCAGGUUGGAUAAGAUUAAGGAAAACCAGUUUUUUUAAUAUGAAAACUACAUUAAAACAAGGAUGUUAUGAGUAUCAUAUUUGUUUAUACCCUUAAAUAAAUGAAGCACUUUAUUUUAAUCAUAAUCUCGUAAAUUGAAAGUCAUUUUAGCUAUUAUCAUAUAAUUAUUUUAAAAUAAUAAAUGAUAGAGCAAAUUAUACUGACACCCUCUGAGUUUUAGUGAAAUUACACAAACCACCCCUCACUUUUCUACACCUACACAAACCUCCCCUAGUUUUUAUACUUUCAUUACACUGACCACCCCUGUAUAAGAAUUAAGUGUAAUCUUUUAAACAAAAAAUGUGAUAAAUGUAAUUAAGUUAAAUAAAACAUGAUAUAUUGUGUACACAAGUCUAAAAAAUAUACAAAUCAAUGUAUCUUUAUUAUUUUUUUGUUACAAAAUGCAUCAACAAUUCUAAAGAAAUAUUGUUUAAACCACUCUUAUAAUGUAGUCUAACGAACCAAAAAUAAUAAAGAAAUAUUGACUCAUAUAUUAUUUGGACUUGUCUCCACAAUAUAUCAUGUUUUGUUUAUCUUAAUUGCAUUUAUCACAUUUUUUGUUUAAAAGAUUACACUUAUUUCUUAUACAGGGGUGGUCAGUGUAAUGAAAGUAUAAAAACUAGGGGAGGUUUAUGUAGGUGUAAAAAAAUGAGGGGUGACUUUUGUAAUUUCAUUGUAAUUUCACUAAAACGCAGGGGGUGUCAGUGCAAUUUACUCUAUGCGAUCAAAAACAACUAAGUGUGAUUUGUAUUUUUUGGAUGACAUUUAUUUUUCACCUCCAUAAUUCAUUAGAAAAGUGGAAAUUCAUUUAAUUUCUAUUUAAGAUUUCAAUACCUUCUUUCAUUAUGAAUGAUUAUAAUAGGAAUUUACUUGGUCUUCCUAAUUACAGAUUUAGGAACAUGUAACUCCUCUUUGUAUCUCAUUUUUUGUUCCUUUCUAUAAUAUAUCUUGUGCUAUAGCACAGUUGCUUAAUUGUUUUUUAAUAAUAUUUAUUUUUCGCUCUUUUGUAUUCUCAACUCGAGAGACUGAAUUCCUGAACAAUUGUUGUGAGAGAUACGAAAGCACUAAGAUUAGAGUGGGGAGAAAGGAAUCAAAGGAAAAAACAAGGUCAGUUUAGUAUUUUAUAAAUCAAAUCCUUUUUUAUUCACUUGAUUUGAAGUUAAGGUAGGAUGUUUUUGCUGGAAAACGAUUUUUGAUUUCAUGUUUUUUCCUUUUAAAAUCAUUGUAAUUUGAGGUACAUUUCAUUGUGUUUUUUACUUUACCAACUAUUGAAGUUCAUAUCACUGAGAUGCACGUAUUUACAUAGAUCUAAGUUAUCAAUGGUAGGUUAUUAAGUAAGUUCAUUUCUCAUUAUUCAUAUAUGAUAUUCUGAUACACAAUUUCAUUAUUCUAAUCCUUCAUUUAUAUAAACAUUAAGAAUUGUAGUUUUUUCCUCUUUCCAUGUUAAAUAAAAAACACUUUAUUAUACUUUUAGAGCACUCAAUGUUGAUUUGGCAAUGAAAGUGAAAAUGGAUCUCAUACGUCAUGUUGUGGCUGAUCGACAGGUGCCAUCAAAUGAACGAGGUGAGGAUCACCAUCAUCGUGAACGUCAAAAAACUUUAAAGCUCUUUAAUAAAACUAAAAUAUUGUAUUUACUACCAUAAUAUUUGGUUUUUUAAAAAGUCAUAACUUUUUAUGUUAAUUUGUGAUAGGUAAGAGGUUAAUAUCUCCAUAUAAGUUAUUAUUUUAAUAUAUUUAUAUGGUUAUAGUUAAAAUGACCGUCAACACACUAGAUUAUUUUUAAAAUAAAGUGCUGCAUUUAUUUAUGUGUAUAAACAAAUAUGAUACUUAUAACAUUCCUUGCUUAAAUGUACUUUUCAUAUUAAAAUAAGUUGGUUUUCCUUAAUAUUGCCCAACAUGAUUUUGAUUGAUUAUGCAUUCUCUAACCUCGUCCAACCACAAAUAUAGUCAAGAUCUUAGUUAUAUUCGAAAGACGGCCCAAUUUGGUAUGGUUAUGUCUUGGUGCAUUGGAUACCAUUUAAACAAAAAUAUUUAAUAAAAUAUUAAACUAUUUUUAAUAUGUCAAUAUUAUAUACUGUCAAUACAUUAUUCAUGAUUCAUUUGUAUUACUUGUAUUUAUUUGUAUCACUUAUAUUUUUAAAAAACUUAUGGUGUGUCAUACAUUGUGUGAAUUUUCCAAUCGUUGUAUAUAUAUAAAUAAAAUCUAUAAUAUUGAGAUAAAAAAUAUAUUAUUGAGAUAAAAUUUAAGAAAUUAUUUAGUAAUAUAUUAUAUAUAUAUUUGUAUAAAUGGUACUAAUUGCAUCAAGGGCAAACCAGGCCAAAUUGGUCCCUCUUUCAAAUAUGGCUAUAAUCAUGACUGUAUUUGUGGUUGGACAAGGUUAGAGUGUGCAAAAUAAAUCAAAAUUAGGCUUGACAAGAUUAAGGAAAACCAAUUGUUUUAAUAUGAAAACUACAUCAAAACAAGGAAAGUUAUAAGCCAAAAAGUUAUAUUCUUAAAUGGAAAUUAAUUGAAUUUCCACGUUACUUAUGAAAUAUGGAGGUGAAAAAUAAAUGUCAUCCACAAAGUACAAAUCACACUUGGUUGUUUUUCAUCGCAUAGGUACAAGUGUUACAAUAAUAUUAUAGUGUAAUAUAUAUCUUAUCAUUUUUAACAUUUAUACAUAAUUUGUACAUCAUUCAUUUGAUGACAUUACAAUCUGGUACUGCAGGAACCAGAAUAUAUUUGAUGACAAACUAAUAUCUACAAGCCAAGCAAUCUCAAGAAUCAAAAGGGAGACUUCUUACUCUGGCUCUUAUCCCUCUACUACAGUGGCUUCAGGAGGCCUUCAUGAAUUACAAACUCUAAUGUUCUUCAAUAUUCCUCUCAAACUUAGUAAAGCUCCUACAUAUAUUGAAUUUCUAUGGAAGUCUCCUCAUUGGAACUGGAUAAAAGUUAAUACUUGGUUGUUUUUCAUCGCAUAGGUACAAGUGUUAUAAUAAUAUUAUAGUGUAAUAUAUAUCUUGUCAUUUUUAACAUUUAUACAUAAUUAGUACGUCAUUCAUUUGACAUUUACAAGAACUCGUAACUCCUUGAAUAUCUAUAUUUAAUGGAGAUGACGUGGCAAAAAAGCUCUGCUAGGGUUUGUUAGUCUCCAAUCUUCUUGGAUUGGUUGCAAUGAAUCUUCAAAACUCCUUUGUCCCUUGGGGAUUUCUCGCAAACCUUGGCUCCAGUUAUCAUUCUUCAUGCUCUGCACCAUCCUCUCCUCCAAAUGCAGCUCCAAUGAAGGAGAAAAAAAAUCCUUUGCUCAGGCUCUUUCUCAACUUCCCCAACCUUGUAUCAAAGGGGAUGCUAUUUCCAUAAAAAUCCCUGACGAAGAGUAUCAAGCUGGCCUGGCCAGAUGUCAAUCUCAUCUUCAUGGAAGAGUUAUUCUUUCAAAAGGGGACUCACCAAUCAAGUUCCUAGAUCUUAAGUCGAAGCUUGCAUCUAUGUGGAGAAUGAUAGGGAAGUGGAAUAUGAUAUCCCUAUGGAGAGGUUUUUAUGAUUUCACUUUCUCCUCGAUUGAGGGCAUGCGAUCUGUUUGUGCCGUGGGCUCUUGGAACCUCAAAACCGGAGUGUUGAGACUCUCUCUUUGGACUCCAGACUUCAAUCCUAAUCUUCAAAAGCUUUCACAUUCACAAUGUUGGGCGAGGAUUCAUGGUCUACCUCAGGAAUAUUGGAGUGCAAAAAUCUUAUUCUCUAUUGCUGGAGGAUUAGGAACACCAAUCUCAUUAGAUGAUGCAACAUCCAACAGAUCUUUUGGGCACUUUGCGAGAGUCUUAGUUGAUAGUGACUUGAAAAGUCAUUUUCAUAAUUAGAUCUUGGUUGAGAGAGAACGCUUUGCCUUCUUUGUGUCCAUUGAAUUUGAAAAUCUUCCUGACUUUUGCUCGAGGUGCAACUCAAUAGGUCACCUAGCAUCCAGAUGCAGGAAAAACAACAUAGAAGGGGAAGGAGCUACUCUGAAACCUGUAGGGAAAAAAAUAAAUAAUAAGGGGAAGCUAAAGGUGAAACCUAUUGCUGACCUGGUUAUCCAUCUGGAAAUUAACCAUUUGGAAGGUCCUAAACUGGCAAAUUUGGAAAGGGUCACAGAUAAGCUUGUUCAGGAAAAUAUCUCAGUGGAUGAGGAUGAGGAGGAUGAAAUCUUAAUGAUCAAGAAAUGGUCCUUAACUUACAAAAUGAAAACUGAGGUCUUAGAGGAUUUGGCUAAUUCAAUUGCUUCUAAGGACUCCAGGCUCUUGGGAAGACUCUGGGCAGAUGACUUUGAAAAUGAAGCAGAAUUGGUGGAGACUAACACCUUCACCAAAGUUUUAACCAAAUCUCAAAAGAAAAAGAUUAGGCAAAAACAAAGCAAGGAAAGAGUGCAUUUUACCCGUUGGGGUGGAUACUUAAAUGUCUCUCAAUGAAAGCCCUCUACUGGAACUGUAGGGGAUUUGGUAACUUGGGCACCAAGCUAUUGCUAAAAGAGAUUUGUUCUACUCAUAAGCCUGAUGUAGUUUUCAUAUUUGAGCCAAUGAUCCAUGGCAAUAAAAUUAAACCCAUGUUUUGGUCCAAUUUGGGUCUGAAGCUCUUUAUAGCUAACGAUAAAGCUUCUCUGCCAUCUUCAAUUUGGGGAGUUUGCAAGGUUGGUAUUCAGCCAACUAUAAUAGCUAACUCUAGGCAACAAAUAUCGAUUGAGUUAGAGGUUGAAAACAAAAAGUUCUUCUUCUAUGCUGUGUAUGCUCACACCCAUUUUGUUCACAGAAGAGAGCUCUGGAAGGAGAUUCACCAAAUUCUUCUCAAUUUCCCUGGUCCCUAAUGUUGCAUUGGGGAUUUUAAUGUUGUCUUGGGAGCUAAUGAAUGUCGUGGUGCCCGUUUGCCCAAUAAAACUUCAUCUGAUGAGUUUAAAGCUUUCUCUGAUUCUACAAACUUGACUCACAUUGUAACAAGAGGGGCUGAGUUCAUCUGGUCCAAUAAAAGGAGAGGUUCUGCCCAUACAGAGAAGAGGCUUGAUAGAGCAAUCUGUAAUGAUGCUUGGCUGAGUGAAUGGACUAACAUCACCUCUUGUACUCUUCCUAGAUCUAACUCUGAUCAUCACCCCAUGCUCCUUUGUGCUUCAGGGGCUAUAAGUAUUAGGCAAUCCCCUUUUAAGUUCCAAAAAAUGUGGCUGCUCCAUCAUGGCCUGAGAGAUCUAAUUAAGACCAAUUGGGAUACAAGGGUUAUUGGAUGCCCUAUGUUUGUUCUAUCUUCAAAGCUGAAAAGCUUAAAAGUGGUGCUAAAGACUUGGAAUAAGGAGGUGUUUGGUAAUAUCCAUCUUAGGGUGAAGGCUGCCUUGAGUAAAGUUAAUGAUAUUCAGCAAUGCUUAAAUCUCAGUGGGGAGGAUCAUGAUCUCAGGGAGUAGGAAAAUCUGGCUCAGAAGGAGCUCCUUUAUGCCUUAAAAUUGAGGAAGAAUUCUGGAAAGAAAAGGCUCGCAUCAAUUGGCACUCUAAGGGGGACAUGAAUACCUCUUACUUCCAUAAGUUAGCCAAAAUAAGGCAUUCAACCAAGGCUAUGACCAUGUUAAGGGAGGGGGACACAAUCCUGUUAGAACAAAAUGAGAUAGCUAGUCAUGCUUUGUCCUAUUUCACAGAGUUGUAUGCCUCAGAGAACAAUGUCCAACACAAAGAUUUGAUCAAUUCUGUGGUGCCCAGGGUGGUUUCUGAAGCCAGAAUUGUAUGCUCACUAAAAUUCAUAUGCUUGAAUAAAUUAAAAAUGCAGUUUUUGGUAUGAAUGGUGAUGGUGCUCUAGGUCCUGAUGGGUUUGGUGGUUCCUUCUUUCAGGAGUUUUGGGACAUUGUUGCCCCGAUGUGUGCAAUUCAGUCUCCCAAUUCUUUUCCCAGGAAUGGAUUCUUCCCAAUAUGAACUCUAAUUAUGUGGUUCUGAUCCCUAAGUUCCCUGGUGCUGAUAGGAUUGAAGACUUCAGACCAAUUUCUCUUGCCAACUUCCAAUUCAAAGUGAUCAUAAAAGUCUUGGCUGAUAGGUUGGCCAUAAUUGCUCUAGAGAUUGUCUCUAGUCAGCAAAGAGGCUUCAUCAAAGGAAGACAUAUCCAGGACUACAUUUGUAUUGCUUCUGAAGCCAUCAAUCUGCUGGAUCAUAAGUCUUUUGGGGGGAAACCUAGCUCUCAAGCUGGAUAUUAGGAAAGCCUUUGACACAAUUGAUUGGGGAUUCAUAUGCAAUACUCUAAAGGCUUUCGGAUUUGACAACAAAUUCAUAGCUUGGAUAAAUAUCAUCUUGGGCUCUGCUAAGCUAUCCAUUGUUGUUAAUGGCCAAAAUCAUGGUUACUUCAGUUGUAAGAGGGGUGUUAGGCAAGGAGACCCCCUAUCCCCCCUUCUCUUCUGUCUUGCAGAAGAUGUCCUAAGCAGGGGCUUAGCCAUGUUACAUGCUGAAGAGAAAAUUCAUUCCAUCUCUAGCCCUGGGAAAAUAUCUACACCCUCUCAUGUUUUAUAUGCUGAUGACAACCUCAUUUUCUACAAAGGAAUCAAGAGAGACAUUCUGGCUCUAAACAAGCUCAUUGAAGCCCAUGCUCAAGCCUCUGGUCAAUAUAUUAAUCCAAGUAACUGCAAAUUCUUCUCCAUCCUAGCUACUCCAGCUAUGAUUGCCUCCCUUUCUGCUUGGUUGGGUUUCUCUAGGGGCAGCCUCCCCUUCUCUUAUCUGGGAGUCCCUAUAUUCAAAGGGAAGCCUAGGGCCAUCCACCUUCAACCUAUAGCUGAUAGAAUUGUGCUCAGGCUGGCUAAGUGGAAAGGCUCAUCUCUUUCCAUCAUGGGCAGGGUUGAGCUGGUUAAAUCCAUUAUACACAGUAUGUUGACUUUCAACUUUCAAGUCUAUUCCUGACCAAGUUCUCUGCGGAAAUUUAUUGACAAAAGCAUAAGGAACUUCAUUUGGUCAGGUGAUAUUAACACUAGAAAACUUGUCACUGUGGCUUGGCACAAGCUCUGCACUCCUACUAAUGAAGGAGGUCUUGGUCUGAGGUCAAUUGCUAAAAUGAAUCAAGCUUCCCUGCUGAAACUUGCUUGGGGUAUAAGGUCUUCCUGAAAGUGCGCAUGUCAAGAUAGCACUUUGGAAAGCUUUCUCACUAUGUGUUUAGUUUUGAUGAGGAUAACUUGUGAUUAUGAGAGAUUGAAGAUCAUCAACAAAUCAACAUGCUUAAGUCUCUAGAUUGGUAUUAGACUUAGACUAGUAAUUAGUUUAGGUUGAGUCUAAGGCUUAGGUAAACUCAAUACAUGUCUCAUAUGCAUAAAACUUUAAAUCAGUUUAAGUCUUGUGAUAUGUCAUUUAUAAUAUGUUCAUGCAUCAUAUAAAUACAUGUAAUUUGUGCAUCCUAGGCAGAAACUUAGUGUUGAACAUGUAUAAAUUAAGUGCAUAACGUAUUUGAGUUUUGCAAUUUGAAAAUACACUUGGAAAUAUGUUGUUAAUCGAUUAAAGCAUGAUUUAAUCGAUUAACAUGAGUUUUUGAAAUGUUGUUGAAACUGAAAACUUGGAAAAACAGAAUUAGUUACGUUUUUAAAACACGUUAAUCGAUUAACCAAGGUCUUAAUCGAUUAACUGGGCUACUGAAGUGAUUCUUUAUAAACUGCGUUUUCAGAACUUAAGCCAUAACUUGCAUGUUAGAUUUUAAGAGAGUUAGAGCAUAUUUNNNNNNNNNNNNNNNNNNNNNNNNNNNNNNNNNNNNNNNNNNNNNNNNNNNNNNNNNNNNNNNNNNNNNNNNNNNNNNNNNNNNNNNNNNNNNNNNNNNNGGAAUGGGCCUUAUUUUACAGAGCCAGGUUCUACAGAGCCAGUAGGAAGCAGGAAACCUAUGUAAAGUCAUCAAUUUGGCCUGGUAUCAAAAGAGUCUGGACUAUAAUCAAUGACAACUCUAGAUGGGUAGUUGGUAAUGGAGCUAAUAUACACUAUUGGCUAGAUAACUGGCUUGGUAGUCCUUUAGCCACCACUCUGAACAUUCCUCAGCAGCUUUACUCCUUCUUGAAUGCAAGAGUUGAAGAUUUUAUCCAGGACAAUCACUGGUUAAUCCCCUCAUGGAUGGCCUCUAUGCACCCUACAACCUUGCAGUCAAUCAUUAAAAUUCGUGUUACAAAUCAGACUCAAAAGGAUAAGCUAGUUUGGAUUCACUCUACUGAUGGUGGCAUGAGUAUGAAGGAUGGAUACAAUGUUUUCAAGCCAGGACAGACUCAAAUCAAUUGGUGUAAGAAAAUCUGGUCUAGCUUCAUUCCCGCAACAAAAUCAUUCAUAGUUUGGAGGCUGGACAAUAACAAAAUGCCUCUUGAUGUUAACCUUCAGAAAAGGGGCAUCCAUCUGGCCUCUACCUGCUCCAUUUGUCAUGCUGUAGAGGAGUCAUCUAAUCACCUUUUCUUUCAAUGCAGUUUUGCUCUUGAUUUAUGGCACUGGUUUGAAAACAUUAUUGAUUUACCUUUGGACAACUCCUCUAUUCAGAGCAUUUUGAGGGUGUGCAAGUCUAAUUGGAGUCCUCAACUUAACUUGGUAGUCACUCCUAGCAUAGUCAACACCAUCUCGACUAUAUGGUAUUGUAGGAACCAGAGAAGAUUUGAUGAUACAAAAGUUGGUUUCAUGCAAGCUUGUGACAUGAUAAAAAGGGACACUGCACUCACUGGAAACCUAUCUACUUUGGCUGCUAAUCCUACCCUUUUUGAAUUUUCUACAAUUCGUAGAUUCAAUUGCUCUCCUCAUUACACUCCUUUUCCUGCCAUCACUGAAGUCAGAUGGCUUCCUCCUCCGUAGGGGUGGAUCAAAAUCAACUCUGAUGGUGCUGCCCAUGGUUAUCCCGGUCACGCAGGAGGUGGUGGUAUCUUUAGGGACAACAAUGGGGACAUGUUGGAUUGUUUUGCUACCUAUCUUCAUAUACAAGACUAUCUUUUUUCUAAGCUUUUUUCUGCAAUCAUGGCAAUUCAGAUAGCUAGCUUGAAGGGUUGGAGGGAGGUUUGGUUGGAGUGUGACUCAAGUUUGGUGGUUGAAAUUGUUAAUGGCAACAAAGAUCCUCCUUGGAAGCUUAGCAACUACUGGGAGCAUUGCAAGAGGAUAAUUCCUUCCUUGAGGCUCAAGGUUUCUCCCAUUUUCAGGGAAGGAAAUUCAUGUGCGGACAAACUAGCUUCCUACGAAGUGAACUCAAGAAACACUUCUUGGUUGAAUUUGGUCCCCCCUUUUCUUGCUAUGGAAUUUCAUAGGAAUAGAUACCUAUUGCCUAAUUAUAGAUUCAAGAAUAUGUAAUGGUUCCCUUUGUUUGUACUCUUUCUUGGUAAUAUAUCAGUGGGUGCCUUGACACCCUUGCUUUUAAAAAAAAGUACAUCAUUUAUUUGUAUUACUCAUAUGUAAUUGUAUUGUUUAUAUUAAAAAUAUUGUGGGAUCAUACAAUGUGUGAAGUUGCCACUAGUUGACAUAUAUAAAUAAAAACAUAAAUACUGAGAGAAAAAAAGACUAAGAAAGUAUUUAAUACUUUGCUAUAUAUAUUUGUAUAAAUGGGACCAAUUAUAUCAAGAGCAAACCAGACCAAAUUGGGUUUUCUUUCAAAUAUGGCUAAGAUCUUGACUGUAUUUGUGGUUGGAUGAGGUUAGGGCGUGCAAAAUCAUUUAAAAUCAGGCUGGACAAGAUUAAGGGAAACCAAUUUUUUAAUAUGAAAACUACAUUAAAACAAGGAAAGUUAUAAGUAUCAUAUUUGUUUAUACACUUAUAUAAAUGCAGCAUUUUAUUUUAAUCGUACUCUAGUGAGUUGAAAGCCAUUUUAGCUUUUACCAUAUAAGUAUAUUAAAAUAAUAAUUGAUCUGACGAUAUUAGCCCAUAUUUUUCAACGAGUUUCGCAUUUUAGUCUGGUAUAAAUAUGUUAGUGUUAUAUAAUGUUAUCUAGUUAAUCCAUUGUUACCGAUAUAAGACUAUUGAGCAAUAUAUUACAUACUAAUCACAACCUUAUUUUACCAUUAUAAAAAAACACAAAUAUUGAAUGAAAAAACUGAGAAAUUAUUUAAUAUUUUAUUAUAUAUUUAUUUAAUAAUUUAUUGUACAUUUUUAUUUAACAAUGAAAGAUGCAGAAACAACAAUUCAUAAAGCUAAUAUAAAGGAAGGAUUAGGAUAAUGAAAUUGUGUAUCAUAAAUAAAGCAUGUGAAAAGAACUUAUUUAAUAACCUAUCAUUGAUAACAUAGAUGAAUGUAAUUAAAUGAAAUGAGUGAUAUAAACUUCAAUAAUUGGUAAAGUAAAAAAGACAAUAAAUUGCACCCAAAAAAGAUGAAUAUGAAAAGGAAGAAACAUGAAAAAAAUAUUGCUUUUGGGCAAAAAUAUCCUACCUUAACUUCAAAUCAAGUGAAUGAAAAUGAUUUGAUUAAUAAAAAAGUACAUAACAUCGUUUCAUGCUUUGAUUCCUUUCUCCCUACUCUACUCUUGGUGCUUUCACUUCUCUUAUAGCAACUGUUCAUGGAUUUAGUCUCUCGGGUUGAGAAUAUAACAAAGCAAAAAGUUAUAUUCUUAAAUGGAAAUAAAAUGGGUUUCCACUUUUCUGAUGAGUUAUGGAGGUGGAAAUAAAUGUCAUCCAAAAAAUACAAAUCACACUUAAUUGGUUUUGCUCCCAGGCAAAAACAUUCUACCUUAACUUCAGGCAAAAAAAACACUUUCACUUCUCUUACAACAAUUGUUCAGGGAUUCAAUCUCUUGAAUUGAGAAUAUAACAUUCUUAAAUGAAAAUUAAAUCGAUUUCCAUUUUUCUAAUGAAUUAUGCAGGUGGAAAUAAAAGUCAUCCAAAAAAUACACAUCACGUUUGAUUGUUUUUCAUCGCAUGAGUACAAUGGUUACAAUAUUAUUAUAGUGUAAUACCUAUCUUGUCAUUUUUUAAAUUUAUACAUAAUUAAUAUAUCAUGUAUCAUUCAUUUAUAUUACUUGUAUUUAUUUGUAUUACAUAUAAUUUGAAAAACAAUUAUGUGGGGUGAUACAUUUUGUGAAGUUGCACUAGUUGACAUAUAUAAAUAAAAACGUAAAUAUUGAGAGUAUAAACCUAGAAAUUAUUUAAUAUUUUAUUGUUUAUUUAUUUAAUAAUUUAUUACAUAUUUUUAUUUAACAAUGAAAGAGGAAUAAACUAUCAUUCUUUGAACUUAUAUAAACGAAUGAUUAGAAUAAUGAAAUUAUGUAUCAUAAUAUUAGAAAUAAAGCAUGUUAAAAGAACAUAGUUAAUAAGCUACCAACUAUAACAUAGAUGAAUGUAAUUAUGUGCAAAUUAGUGAUAUGACUUCAAUAAUUGGAACACUAAAAAAAACAAUAAAAUGCACCUCAAAUUAGAUGGACUUGAAAUGGAAGAAACAUGAAAAUAAAUAUUGCUUUGGGUAAAAAAUAUCCCACCUUAAUUUCAAAUCAUGUGAAUGAAAAGGAUUUGAAUUAUAAGAAACUGAAAUAAAUCAAUUCAUCCAUUGAUUCCUUUCUCCCUACUCUACUCUCGGUGUUUUCACUUCUCUCACAACAACUGUUCACGGAUCUAGUCUCUCGAGUAGAGAAUAUAAUAAAGCAAUAAAGUUAUAUUCUUAAAUGAAAAUUAAAUGGAUUUCCAAUUUUAUGAUGAAUUAUGGAGUUGGAAAUAAACGUCAUCCAUAAAUUACAAAUCACACUUAGUUGUUUUCAUCACAUGUGUAACACCGUGAAUUUUCUGUGUAUGUUUUAUUAAUUAUUUAUUUUAACAAUGAUUAAUUUUAGAAAUUAAUCGGUAUUAAAUUAGACUAAAUUGUAGUUGAAUGUUAGUCUUUUUUUGUGAUUUUCUAUUUUCUGGAAAAUUUUCGUUAUUUUCUGUGACAGGAAGUUUUUGAGUUGGUAUCGGGCCCAAAUGCGCCCGAAUUCGGCCCAAUAAUGUGUUUUUGAGUUUCGUACCUCGGAAUCGAAUUCCGAUUGAGCCAUUGGCUUUGAAAUGUUAUUUCGAGUCAAGAUAGACAUCAAGUUUAUCCAGAACGCAUUUCUAAUUAUUUUUCACUCCGAAUUCCGUGUUUCGAAGUUCUAACCGUAAACCGAAAUCGGGAGAUUUUUAUUAUCCGAUCGGGUAUUAGCCGACAAUACUCGAGAAUGGUUUAAUCGUGAAUGUGUUAUUGAAAAGGUCACAUCACUUUCAUGUAAGAAGCUUGCUUGUUAAAUAAGCAAAAAUACAUAUCUUCUUACACAAAAUCCCCUAAAUCACUCAACAAAUCCUGUCACUUCACCACCAUUAGACACAUAACCUAUGCUAGUCUAAAUCUACUUACUUUGCAUUAAAUUUUAUGAUUUGAUGAGGGUGAGGCUCUCCUAUAAAUACCUCACCCCAUUCUCUCAUUUAUACACUAAAUUUCCUAUACAAACUAAGGUAGUCUUUUAUUUUCUCUUCUUCAUCUUCUUCUCAUACUUCAUAAAAAGUUAUGAGCUUUUAUUAUGUUGUUCNNNNNNNNNNNNNNNNNNNNNNNNNNNNNNNNNNNNNNNNNNNNNNNNNNNNNNNNNNNNNNNNNNNNNNNNNNNNNNNNNNNNNNNNNNNNNNNNNNNNGUUUUAGUAGUAUACUUGUAAUAAUGAGAUUUACCUAAAAGUCUUGACUUUAUAAACUUAAAGUGUUAUGAAGUCUUAGAUGGUAAAAUGAUUUAAAAAUGUUGAAUCUUAGUUAAGUGAACUUACUUUAAAAUGGUAAGAUUUACUUAAAAAAUAUUGAUUUAAAAGUAUUGAUUUUGUUUAAAUUGAUUAACUUUAAAAAUGAUAAGUCUAGCUUAAUGAUCUUAUUUUAAAAGGUUAGUUUUAGUAAAAGUGUUUUACUUACAAAAAAUAAGAUUUAUGAACUAUCAGAAAAAUGUAAUGAAGUGGGAAUACUUGUCUAGAAAUGUUCUGUCUAAGGAAAGAUUUGGUAUUUAAGGGUGUCUUUACGACCCACCUCUCUUUUCUGGGAACUAGCCUAACGUAUAUCCACGUAUUACGACAUAAUUCCGGUAUAAGUUUUAUUGAAAAUCUUACUUUAAAAAGUGUUAUUUGAUUGUAAGACUUUCAAUGAAAAAUGAUGAUUCAAGGAUAUUCAACCUUGAAUCGGAUGGACGAAAGCAAUUAAAUUCAUUUUGAAUCGCAAGUUUUAUCUUCGCAUAAAAAGUUAUUUCGUAAUACAAUUAUUAUCGUCAAUUAACUAAUUAAUGUUAUUUUGGUGUAAUGACGAGCUCGAGAGGAGAUCGGAUCAAGUAAGCUCACCUGCAAACAGAGAACCUAGUGACCCGACACACUCAUGUGAAGGAGAAAACAUCGUGACACAGUGGUGUCCGAAUAUGCAUCCGAACCUCCAAAUUCCCUCACAAUAUGGGGCAUGCUCAGCAUAAAGAACAUCCUUUAUCUCAAAAUAGUGAGCAAAACAAGCAAUGAAACUACCAUUUUCCUCUCUAAAAAUUCUAGCACCUCCAGCCUGACCCGAAGAACCAAAAGCUGCCCCAUCAGUGUUAACUUUAAAUCAUCCCAGUAAAGGACAUUGCCAUAUUACUUCCACCAUUUUAGGACUCUUCCUAUGAUUCAUUUGAAUUCCCAGACCAUGUAGGAUUGUGAAGUCUCUUAUGGAGGAGUUGGAAUAAGAAGAAGUUAACUUCCCAGAUAAGGUAAUGUCCACCUUGAUGUUUGAUAUGAUGUUGUUAAUAGGAAGUCUUCUGUCAUCUAACUUGGAAUUGUUUCUAAUACUCCACAUGUUACUUAUUGCUAGGAUGACGCAGUUUAGGAAAACCUCUCUCAAUUGAGGACUCCAACACUGAUUCUAAGAAUCAAGAAACUCAUGAACAAAUUUAGUGUUGAUAUUACAAGUGAAAAGAUUGUCAAUCCAGUUCCAGAUGUGAGAAGCCAAAGAAUAUGAGAGAAAUAAGUGAUUUGAAGAUUCCAAUGUGGAAUUACAAAUGCUACACUAAGACACUAGAUGAUAACCCCUUCUUUAAAGAUUGUCAUCAGUAGGCAAUCUUUGGUGAAUCCAUCUACAAACAAUGAAAGAUUUAUUAGGAGGAAUAACUUUGGACCAAAUAACUUUAAACCAUAUUUGAUUCAUACUUGUUGGGUUACAGUGCAGAUAAGCCUACUUGGAAGUGAGAAUGCCAUCACAAGCAUCUUGCCAAACUAUUCGGUCUUGAGAAUUAGUUCUGAUGGUUCUGAUAAUAUGAAAUUGAGUGUGCUUUAGCACUCAUAGCUUUAUCUAAAAAAUAUCUCUUUGCGUCUGAAUUGAUUUAGUAGUAUUUUAAUAAAAAUGAUAAUUUUUGAACCUUAGUCCACUGAUAUUGAUUUUUUAGCAGGUUUGGGAAAUGCAACUAUGGAAGCCUCGUCUUUCAAUGUCCAAUGAAAAUCUGUAUAUAUCAUCUUCUAGAUUUACUAUUGUAUGCAACAUUCCAUUGCAUGAGCUGCAAAUUAAAAUCUAAUACUGAAAAGCUUAAGAAGUAAAAUAACAUGGGCACACAAGGUUUCUUGCUUAUAGAGGGAAUGACUUGUUUCCUUGGAAAAAUGUUAAGAUAUCUAUCAAAUCUUCUUGGAAUCUGAUUUAAAAACCAAUAAUUUGAGACACAACAUUUCCAACCACUUUCAAAGUACCAUGUGUGAACUUCAAAAGUGUAAAAAAUAAUAGAGAAAAAAAUGUUUAUUCUAACCAGAGGAAAAAAAACAAACUGCUCCUAACAGUGGUUAUUCUGUAAAAGUUUUAAAACAAGCAAAUGAUAAUCUAUAUCAAAAGUGUUGAUUUUGGCAAAUAAUCCUAACCAAACGCCAUCUGAAAUAAGUUCAUAUAUAUAUGGAUAUUAGAGUGGAUUUAUGUUAGAAAUUAGAGUAACCAAACUCUGUAAGAUAAUCAAAUCAACUCAGUUCCUAAUCUAUUGAUUUCCAACCGUAAAUUUAAUAAUGUAAGGUAGAUCAAAUCAUUUCCAAAUACCAAUUUUAAUUUAUUUCAAACACUAGCUAAUAGGCAAUAUACCCAGGACCCAGGCUAAUUUGAAACAUAAAUCUGUAAAGGUUAAACUUGAUUACAUGCCAAAGUCUUGCAUAUUUAUUGAGAGAACUAGUUCAAGUGACAUCAACUCAAAGAUGCAACAACUAUACAAGACCUUUUCCCAGUAAGUGAGAAAAGACUUGAGAUAUUCUCUGGAAAUUCACCAAAGUUAACUUAUUUCUCUGUCUACGUCAGAUUUUAUUGUUUAUCAUGAAUAAGGUGCAAUUGUAAGGCAAGACACAAUAGGAAGAGGAGUACAUAUUCUAUCCAACAAUUUGCCUCAUCCUAUGUGUCAUCAGCUGUGAUCAGUUUGAGAAAUAUUUAAUAAUUAAAUAUUUAAUUUAA
Molecule: long non-coding RNA, 52218 nt
Filed under: Lupinus angustifolius (narrow-leaved blue lupine)
Lineage: Eukaryota; Viridiplantae; Streptophyta; Magnoliopsida; Fabales; Fabaceae
Description: long non-coding RNA (LANG_LNC001434)
Source: RNAcentral